This 57818-nucleotide long non-coding RNA is filed under the name Phoenix dactylifera (date palm). Its description in RNAcentral is "long non-coding RNA (PDAC_LNC001889)". Lineage: Eukaryota; Viridiplantae; Streptophyta; Magnoliopsida; Arecales; Arecaceae. The record is from RNAcentral.
CUAUGCCUGAUUCUUUUCCCCUCCUGAUUAGUCUUUGGUUAUUAACAGGGAAGUUCAAAGGGUUUAAUGGAAUAUACAAUAUGGCAAUUUCUGUAAUAAUUGGUGCCGUCUAAUUUAGCAGAAAUGUGUUGGAGUCUCUGCCAUAAAUGAUUAUUACUGAAAACCAUGACCUUUUUUUGUUGGUAAUGAUUUAACUUUCUUGCUCUGUUAAUGGCAGCCAUAACAUAGGUUUCUAUCUGGUUUGACAUGCUUUCUGAAUUUAAUAGCAGGCCCCUCGCUUGCCCCAUGUUGUUUACGGGAGGAUUUAAGUGCUGUUGGUAUGGGGCAUGUUGGCUGGCAUGUGCUUCUGUCAGUACAUGCUAUGCGGUAUUUGAAACCCUAAAAGGAACUUUUUGCUCAGUAUCAAGCAAUCAUGAGCCAUAUCACUAUGAGUCUAUAUGCGCCAAUAUGUCUGGCACCAAUACUUACCUAGUACUGGGUGCUGGUACCGACCCUGCAUGGGCUGAAACUUGAAACAAUGUUACAUGUGCAUGUAAAUAUAUCUACACAUGCAAAAAGGUGGAUGACAUGAAAUUGAUGGUGGUUUGUACAGUAUGUGCGCAUUCUGAUGGAUUAUACCUUAAUACAUCAUGCUUCUUUGUUAGGAUUAAGGAUACAUAAUUGGUCAAAUUUAACAAACAUUAACAAAUGAAUGGAAAUGCCUUUUGCGUUUGAAUUUUGAAUCAUGAAUGUUCAUAGUUGUCAAAAAAGAAUUGGAAUGCUAGAAGUUGAUGGUAAGCUUGCAAAAAUGAUAGAAUUAUCUCAGUGAAGCAAUCUAGUUUAGGGGUUGUUGUUUUUGAUUCUCCCUUUUUUCCUCACUUCAUUUGCUCAAUAAACUGUUGAGUCAAUUUGGAGAUGAUGUAUGACAUGGAGUUUGAAUACCUUUUAAAUUGCUAGACAAUGAAAUGCAUGUUUCUUUGGAAUUCUGCAACCAUGAAAGUUUUGAGUGGCUUUCUUUUUGCUAAUUCUCCAAAAGGAUACUCCUUAUAAUGGGGUAACAAAUAACGUGGAAAGUUGCUAUUUAAAGUGUGGCUAACUCCACAAAUAUGUAGAACCUAGUCCAUGCACAUUUUUUGAUAAAGAAGGUUCUAAUUAUAUAGUUUAAAAUACCUAUAAGGCAAAUGGAGGCAAAAUCAUCCUGUUGUCUAUGGAUGAAUGUAGUUGCUUUAUGCUUUCAAAAUGAUGGUAAAAAAUUGCAUCUUAUCAAGCACAUUGAGGAUAGUCUAUUUAUUUUUAAGUGUAAAGUCCAGUUAUACAUAAAUGAUGAAUAUAAAAGAUUGAGGGCAGUUCUGCUAGCAAAGAAACUUGAAAAAACAGGCGAUGGGCUAGGUGCAGACCACCCAAUGGGCCAUGAACGUACCCUCCUAGUCAUGCAUCAGUGUGUGUCUCGCAGGUGCAUGCCCAGACUCAUGGGUCACCAAUAUUGAGCUGAACCGCUUCCACCAAUAAUAUAGAUUGAAAUAGAGGAAAUAUAGGAUGCUGUGUAUAUGCAAGUUUAGCAAGUAUGGGGUUUGAUACACUGACUGUUAUAGAAAAUCUUUUAACUACUGAAUAUCAACCAGUUACUUAUGGUGCAGUGGUUUGUUUUGGAUUUCUAGUGAGAUAGUUUUGUUAAGGUUCUCAUGCUGAGCACCAUUUCAUUUGUACAUGCAAAGAGUUCUGCUUUGACUUAUUUACCCCCAAAUUGGCCACAUGUUGGCUUUUUCUGUGAUUGAGUGGUGGUUUGUUAUGAGCUUGCUAGUGAGAUGCUUUUGAAUAGUCAAGCUGUUUUGAACAAUUGAAAUCAUUUUUAACUAAGAGCAUGGUUUAGGCUGUUAAGCUUAUUAACUCUUGUUGUGCUGUUGCUAAUAAAAGAAUUUCCUUUUUAAGUGCACCUUCUGAAGUAAUUAAUGCAUGUGGAAUAAAACUCUGUUAUUGACAACUCAAAUUUUUGUCAGCAAUUGGAAUUCCCCCUCAGAAGUUAAUCUUUAUGGGAUGAAAACUGCAUAUAGUGUGGAGCUCUUUUUUUAUUUAACAUAUAGAUUGUUGUGAGCAAUCGGAGUCUUGUGCCUAUCUAGUCAUUGAGAACAUCUUAUUUUGAGGCAGUUUUUUCCUACUGGAUGGUAGAAAACAACAUACCUUAUAGGUUAGUGUUUGUUGUGCCUUUUUAAUUUAGUUAUUGUUUCUAAUUUGAAAGAAAUUUGGUUGUAGGGUUGUAGAUCUCAGCUGCACCCAUAAAGUUUGAAGGGAUCAAAAAGUUCUAAGCUGUCUGUUGUCUACAACUAUUUAUCUUUCUUAGCUAAGUUGCAAUUAGAUGAAUUUAUGCUUUUUUCUCCUUUCCAGUCUCUAUGCUUCAAAUGGAACCAUAUUUCAACAUUGCUGGCUGCUUUUGAUAUGAUUAUCUUGAUAAUACCAUUAAGAAUUGAUAGGUUGAGAUGAAUUAAUACAAAUGAAUAAUUGGCACUAAGCGAUCUGAGGAGGGCAAAUUUGGAUUCACUUGAUUGCAGUAGUUCAAGGUUAUUGAAAAUAGUUAUCUUGCAAAGGCAAAGAAGAUAUUAUUGUUAUUGUUUAACUAUGGUAUGCUAAGAAUGUGCAAGAUAUUAUGUAUAUCCUGCAUGGCUGUGGGGAAAAAAAACCAUUACAACUUUGUUAAAAUGCAACAGAUUGCGCUAGAAAGAUAAUUUGUUCAUUUGGAUGGGUGAUUAAUUGCAUAUAGAAAAGACUACAUUAUUAAUCAUCGAUAAGUGAUUAAAUUUGCAAGUUCUGUUGGUGAUUCCUCUUUGUGUUGUGCUACAUUGCCAAAGUGCCUAGAUGACCGCUAUUGGCACAAUGCCUAACUUAUAAAGUAGGCAGUUGCGCAAGUGCCUGUCCAAUUGCCCAGGCAACUAGCUUAGCAUAAAAGUUGCUGAACCAUCUAUUGCUACUUCAAUUUGAUUUAAUUGUUAUGAAUUUUUUCCUAUAUUUAAUAAUGCAACAAUUAAUGUGCUUGUAGUCAAACCCUGUGGACAUUUUGUAUAGAUUAUUCAUUAACAAUAAGGAACACUUGCUAGGGAGCUAUGCCUAGCAUUCCAUGAACCGCUACGACACAUGUUUUAUUGGUCCACAGCAGCUAGAACGUGGUUUUUUUAGGUGAGGAAAGUAGCUUCUCCGGUUUCUCAUGUCACCUUAAGUUGAAGAAAAAAAAUAAAAACCAGGAACCCACAGUACUCUGUAAUAAAUCUAACCAUCAUUCAAUCUCGCUCUCUCAUUUUUCCUCUCUCCAUGAACCCUCGUUUCCACUCUGUUUUUCAAAUCUUUACGCUUCCAUGUCUCCUCUAUGUCCUCUCACCAUUAAUAUGAACCCUCAAUUCCCCUUGACAUUCGCGGACUAUUGCAGGAGUGUGGUGCCCAUCAGGCCACACACGUCUAUAGGGAGGCGAAUGGUGCAGCUGACUGGGUUGCUUUCUAUGUGGCUCACCAUUCGGAUGGUUUUAUUUGGAGAGAGCAUGACACAGUGCCAGGUGCUUUAUCUGCUUUGUUGUUUUCGGAUUUUGUUGGCUGCAUCCACACCCGUAGGGUGUGGGCUGCCAUUGUAUCAAAAAAAAAAAACCCUCAACUCCCUUUUAUUUCCCAAAACCCAAAUCCCCAAAUGAUCUGGUAUUUUUUCUCUUUUUUUCCCCCUCAAAAACAUCUUGAGAUCAGCUAAGAGGGUGUGGUGAUGAGAGAAAGUUUGUGAUAUAUUGCUUCAGAUUGAACCAUGAUAAUUACUUAAAGCCUAAUGGUUGAUGUGAUGAUAUAUAAUAUAUAUGUUUCGUCACAACAGCUUUUGGCUCCAUCCAUGAAGAAAAAUGCAAGGUGAGAACCACAGUCAUUUGUUUUCUUAGAGAUUCCCAUGAUUUGAUGAAGUAGUUUGUUUAUGAGAACAAAUACGGUCUUAUUUUGACUCGAAUCAUUGAUGGAGGAGAAAUCCUCCCUACCAUUUGUUGGGCGCUUCAAGAAGGAAUAUGAAACUUUAGAUAGAGAGAGAUUUUUGGGGGGGGGGGGGUGGGCGGUGUUUGGGUUCUCCAUGGAGAGCUUCGAUCAUAGAAGAAAUGUUUUUUAAUCUUUUAUUUGGAGGAGCUGGUGUUUGCCAGCUUUUAAGCAUGGUAUGGGGUGCAUGGAAUGCUAGGCAUGGUUCCCUAACUUUCCUUGUAGGUAUAAUAAUAGUUUUGAAGGUUUUUACUAAGAUAUUUAAAUGUAGCCUGCAUAUGCAAGUAGUCAAUGCAUCGCAUAGCACAUAUGCAACAUUGGGCGCAUAAGCAGGAAUCUUCAUGGUUGGCAUUCUUAGAAUAUAUAAAAAUAAUGAAAUUCAAAAAAUUAGAUAUUAAUAAGUGAAAAAUCAGUUAUUAAUAUGUAAAAAUUCAGGAAAAAGAGAAGAUUUAUGGAUAUAACAUAAUAACUAGGUUUAAAGUUCUGUUCGGUAAAUAAAAUCUGUAGUAUCUAAGCUAUUGGUCUUCAACAAGAUACCCAAAUUUGUCCUUCAGGAAAUGAUUUACCAAACAAGCCAUGUUUAUGACAGUUCAUAUGUGCUGUAGCUGCAUACAUGAGCCACUUCGGCCUGUAUAGCUGCCUGGCAGCUCCCUAUGGCCCAACCCCAAUGCGAUGCUAUCACCAAGCUGCAUCAUAUAUGCAGGUGCAUAGGUGGCUUCCUAGACCGCAUUUUAAAAUGCUGGCUAUUAUUAAAAAAUAAUUAAUAACAUAUAUCAUUUUUGUUCUAUCUUAAUGGUAAUGUUCCCUUAGCUUUUUUGUUCAUCCAACUUAGCAGCAGUUGGUUCUUUGGUCUAGUGUUUUUAACGAAUUAAAUCUUGGAAUGCCUGUGCGAAGUGAAAUACAUUUAUAUUCGACUCUAAAAGUAUGAAUUAUGCUACAAACACACUAAUAGCAUAUCAAUUAUGCAUGUUUAUGAAUUGAGACAUAUUACACAAAUUAACAUACAUUUAUACAUAGAUAAACACAUAUGAUAGUGGGUGACUGAUAAAAUUAUGGUCUAGAUAUGCCAACCUGCCUAGCUAUGUCCCCAGAACUUGAGUAGCACUCAUGCUUGAUGGUCUUAGUUAUAAUUACCUAGUGACCUAUGGCCCUUCUAUGGCUUAGGCAGUUGUCCAGGCCCCAAGGAGGCCACUCCUAAUAAGAAUAAUGGCCAUAGCAUCAUAACAUGUGUCAGUAAUUUUUUUACUACAUUUGACAACUCCAAAUACAUCUUCUGUGUUUUGGUGAUCCUAUCAGAGCAUGAUGGUUCUACUAAUGUUGAGUUUCAUGCCUUUUUUUUUCUUCUGACGAUCGUAAAAAUUAACAAAUCAUAUCUGAAAGGGAUAAUAGUAUUUGAUGUUUCUGGAAAUAACAGACAUGCAUUUUUCUCAAUCUCAACAAAACAAAGCUGUCCAAUAUAUAAAAUCCUUGUGUAUUACUAAAGCUUACAUUGCUAGGAUUGUGUAUUUUCCUUGUGCAUUUGCACCCAAUGUGGGCAGAGCGUGACACAGAAUGCUGUGUGGUUUGCUUAACUCAUACCAAUGGAGACAUCAUAAGUGAUGUAAAUCCUUUGUUUUAAAUCCACUUUACACUAUCUAUCCAUUGUCAGAAAUUUGUUGUCUGAUCCUUUUAUGUAUGUUAGUUAUGUGAGACUUUUCUAUUUCAAUCAUAAUUCUAGAAACCAUGUAUGCUGCCAGUCAUGUUGCACAAAAGACAAGUCACGGGGAUUUCACACGCCAUGGGAGUGGAUGAUGACUGAUUCUGUGGGAGUUUUGUUGAUCUCAGUAGUAACAUAUCCAAUUCUGACUGCAUUAAAUAAGUUGUUUGCCUGCUUAUCAUCAGUUAUUUUUUCCACCUUGUGUGCUGGUAUUCAGUUAAAUUUCAUAAUCUCACUCCAUCCCUACAUGGUGAAGUGUUGUUCAGAGGCACAACAUGAAUUUAAACCUGUAUAUUAUUGAUCUUUUAAAACUCAAUCAUUUCCGAAGCUACAAAAAAUAGUAUACGGAGUCAAAUUGCAUAUUAUUGUUGACCUCAUAUUGUUAUAUGCCUGAUAUGUUUCUUUGCAAACUGGACGAUGUUAUAAUUUAAUAGUACAUUGAAAUAUUUUGGCUCCUACUUAUAUUGUUAUUGGGUUCACUUGUGCAGAAGAUGUAUGUGCAGUCAAAAUGCAUAUGAACUUUAUUAAGGCCGUGCUUUACUAUUGGACAAGAACCCUGUUCAGUUUUUUUUUUUGCAUCAUUGCUUUGGACAUCAGAGCGAUGUGUUAGAUAUCAUGUUGUCUGUUUUUUGCAUAAUAUCUUUGUCUACGUUGAUGUUUGGGUAUUGUAGCUUGAAAGACGCAUUAUUGUGAGUGUUGCGACUUUUUAUACUGAGCAGGUGAUUCGAUUACAUUAUAUAUUUAGUUCUGUUGAAUUCUAUUAUAAUAUCAUACUUCUGCAAUAAGCCUAUUGUACUUAUAGCUAAACCACAUUCAUAAGAAAAAGUCAUAGUAGUCAUGUGAAGCCCAAGCUUAUCUGCUUUCACUUGUAAUUAAACUUCUAAAAGGUUAAGAAUUGGCUAAAUAUGAAUUGUUGUAAAGGAAGAUCUGCUUUUUGCCGUUCUGUUUUAAUUAUUUGAUUGCUAGUAAGCAAGUGUUUCAUCCAUUCAUUAUUAUAGUCUGCUACGUUUUAAACUUUUUUAAGUCUGACUUAGUUAGGGCAUAUUUAUAUGCUAUAGGAAAUCAAAUUGGAAAUAACCAGAACAAAACUAUAGGCAGAUGAAGUUUUGGAUUUCAUGUACUAAUUGAUGAUUUCAUCCUUUUCAUGCCUUCUCCCAUUAAUCCUUUUUACACAAGAAAUGCAUAGCUGACCCAUAUACACGAGACAAGACCUGUCAAUUAUGGGUUUUUUUCCCCUCUUUGUAAGUUUUAGUUAAGUUAAUAUGAUAAUAUAGUGAUAUGUUAAAAUACCUAUAGAUUAUGAUUGAAGAUUUUCUUCCACAUGUUGCAGUCAUUUGCGGUGGAAAAUUACAUAUGAAAAAUGGACUGAGAAUUUUCUUUUAAUUUUUUGGUUCCAGGCAAAAGCAGCUAAGCAUUUAUGGAUUGGAGGAAUCAGUUCAUCUGUCACAAAGGAACAACUUGAGGAUGAAUUUUUGAAGUUUGGGAAGAUUGAAGAGCACAGAUUCCUCAGGGAUCGAAACUCUGCGCUUAUUGACUAUCACAAGACUGAAGAUGCUAUUGCUGCUCAGAAAAACAUGAAUGGAAAGCGUUUAGGUGGUGAACAAUUGCGUGUUGAUUUUCAGAGAUCACAACCUCCUAGAAAGGUGUUGGUUAUAGUGUUGGUUUUCCCAUAUUUUAUAUUGCUUGCAUGCCUGUUAUCCAAUAUUUUUAAUUAAAGUUAGUGACUUUUGUUUCUUUGUUUUUUGGUUUACCUUUGUUGUACUGCUGUGGUCCUGAUAUCAUUUUCAUCAUGACUAUAGGAUUGGCCUGACCAACGAGACUCAAGAAAUGGACAGUUCGGCAGUCGGGGUUUGGGGCUGCAGGAACGGUUGCUGCCACCUGAUGGAAGAGGUUUUCAUGAUUCUUCCUAUCAUGGGCCCAAGAGGCAUAUGGUAUUCCUUGAACCAGAAAGUCAAUUCUUAACAUAUAUUGAUUGGCACGUUUUACCCCGUUCUUUUCAGUCGAACUUCAGAUUAGAAGUUUUUCCAUCUUAUAAGCUGUUUCUUGUUUUGCAUUUGUUCAAACUUUCUCAGCCUUAUGGAGGACGAAGAGACGGCUACCCAACCAAUGUUCUUUGGAUUGGAUACCCCCCUUCAGUACAGAUUGAUGAGCAGAAGCUCCAUAAUGCCAUGAUUCUGUUUGGUGAGAUUGAGAGGAUCAAGUGCUUUCCAUCGAGGAACUAUUCUUUUGUUGAAUUCAGAAGCAUUGAUGAAGCUAGGCGUGCCAAGGAAGGUUUGCAAGGGCGCCUUUUUAAUGAUCCAAGAAUACAGAUACUGUUUUCAAGCAGUGAUCUUGCACCUGGUAAGGAUGAUACACCGCCAUUUCCAGGGUUUAGAGGGCCUAGACCAGAGAUGUUUUUUGCUGAAGGGCCUAUUGGACCUUUGGAAUUGUAUGGUCCUGGUCGUGCAAUAGCCCCAAAUAGUUUUCCUGGAGCCUUGCUUCCGAAUAGCAUGCCUGGACCUGGUAUUUUAAUGAGGCCAUUUGGACCACAAGGAUUUGAUCCUUGUCAUGGAAGUCCAGAGUUCCAUGAUUUUGGUGGCACUACCAUGCCUUCUAAUUGGGGAUGGCGAUCUCCAUUGGCACCUGGUAUUCUUCCUUCUCCACCAAGUAUGCGCCCUCCUUUCCGACCCGUUCCAGGUUUAUGGGAUGAAUUCGACAUUAGGGAACCUAAAAAAUUAAGGAUGGAUGGUUCUUCCACUGAUAGCGCUUUCUUUCAUGCGACGAGGUUGGACAGUGGGGGUUUUGGAGACCCCUCUGGGUUUUCUCAACCUGAUAGAGGUGCCUCCGGUCAAAAUUGUCCAAGUCCAGUUGUUCGUGGCUAUGGUGAGCUUCAUCCUUCUCCUGAUAGUGACCAUUGUUGGCGUGGUAUUCUUGCCAAAGGUGGAACUCCUGUUUGUCAUGCUCGGUGCGUGCCAGUAGGAAAGGGCAUUGACUCUCCAUUGUAAGUUUGAACACUCCCCAGCCCAUUCAUGAGUAGAUUUAUAAAAAAAUUGGUUAUCUGUUAUGAUGAUUGUCAUAUGAACCUUUUUUGGCAGCCCUGAAGUUGUUAAUUGCUCAGCUAGAACGGGAUUGGAUAUGCUCACAAAGCACUAUGCCGAUGCCAUUGGCUUUGACAUUGUCUUCUUCCUACCUGACAGCGAGGAUGACUUUGUUUUUUACACUGAAUUUCUCCAUUACCUGGGCUUAAAAAAUCGUGCUGGGGUUGCAAAGCUUGAUGAUGGGACUACCCUAUUUUUGGUGCCCCCAUCAGAUUUCUUGACCAAGGUAUUGAAUUUUUCUGGUCCUGAGCGCCUGUAUGGUGUUGUUUUGAAAUUGCCACAACAAUCAACUAAUGCCGCGGUACAACAACCACAACUAGCAACUCCUCUCCUGCCAUCCCAUUACAUUGAUCAACAAGAGGCAUCUAAUUCACAGAAGGGUUAUCAGUCUGUCCCACAAAAUGGAGAUCAAGCUUUAAAAGUUGAUUACAAUAGGUCGGUGUAUGGGGAGCCAAUGCAUCAUUCAGGUGUUGGGAAAUCACUGUUGAUGCUUGCUGAUGAACCAAGCACAGCACAAUCAGCUUCCCUGGAUGAUGCUGGCAAUUCUACUGCUGUUUCCCAGGUGGGGGUUUCCUUGACUCCUGAACUAAUAUCUACUUUAGCAUCUCUGAUUCCCAGAAACAAUCAGUCAUCGGCUGCUGGGACUGUUCAAAUGCCAUCAGGCUCUACUAAUGGGCCAGCUGCAUCUUCUGCUUCUGCGAUACAUGCUGCAUCAAUGCCUUUUGAAGGAUGGAGACAAGACCAAGCGGUAGUUUCUAAUGCUCCCCUAGAGCAAACAAGCUAUCUUCCACAGCAUUUAGGUCAACAGUUUAAUAGCCAGGCACCACUCAGCUCUCACUUUCCAACAUAUGCUAACAUUCCAAGUGGACCAGAUCAUUCUGCAGAACCUAUUGUUGGUAGCACACAAGCUCAAAACCCUGCUUUAAACAUGCCAGAGGCUCCAUCUAUUCUGACCAGACCAUCAUAUAAUUAUUCAAUACCAUUCCAAGGUGGACAAUUUCCAGGAUCUUUCACUUCUCACAGCAACUAUGGCAUGUUACAGACAACAAAUCCUGCUGGUGUAUUCAACCAAGCAGUUCAGCAGCAGUUGAAACCCCCUUCCUCUUCUACUCACGAUCAAAUUGGAAAUCUGCCCCAGCCCCAAAUUGCCAUUCCACCUACUCAAGGGCAUCAGCCACAAACUGUUUUGUCUGGUUCAAGUACGUCAGGUAGCGAUGCUGAUAAGAACCAGCGAUACCAGUCAACCCUUCAGUUUGCUGCCAGCUUACUGCUACAACUUCAACAACAGCAGCAAGCUAGUGCUCAAGCUGUGCAAGAGCCCGGGAAUCAACAUUGAGAAAUGUUCUCGUGUGGCAGGUAUUCUUAUCACCUGCAUUUUAUUGAUUUAAUGAUAUGCUGAAGUUUCUUUCUUAAUUUAGUAGUAACUCUUCGAUGCCAUUGCGAAAUUAGUAUCUAUUAGGUGCAUUUAGUUUAGUUAUUGGUUCUUUUUUCUUGUCUGUAUUCUAUGAUCUCAUUAUUUUCAGGUGACAUUAUUUCUCAUCAGUUGUGCUUUCAGAAAUACAAUUAUGACAUUAUCAUAACAGGAACAUGUUUUUUUUUCAACAAGUUUCACUGAUAAAUGAAAAAUACUUUUGAUGAUUGACUACCAUUAUAUUGAUAAUAAAACUCUCAAAAGUUUUUGUCUUCUACUGAGUAUUGAUUAUAACUUUUAUGUGAGUUUGAAAUACGGGCUAUUGUUGGUUUUCUAUGGUAUGCUUCUUUUUUCCCCUUUCAUGUCUACUACUGGAAAUUAGUAGUAUUAUUAUGAUUCAUAAUGAAGUGAGGGGUGUGGGCAAUCCAAGUACUUGUUAGGUUUACAAAUACCAUGAUGUUUUCAAUCUCAUAUUUUUUGAUUGGUUUUAAAAUGAAAAGUGUACUGUGCAAAGUUAUCAAAGGAGUCUUCAGUAUUUUAGGCAAAUUUCUGUUCUUAAUUAGUUUCAUUUGGUUUAAUUUGGAGAUUAGAGGAAAUAUUGAUCUGAAGUCUAAUUUUAGGUGUCUAAAAUAUGAUUAUACUGUUAGCAGCAUUCUAUUGGAGAAUGAAUCAAAUAACUCCUAAGAAAGCCAGCAUAUAGAUUAUGUAAUGCCUGUCAGUUGUAUUUUAUGAUACUAGGUUAUAUAAUAAUUUUCCAAUUUUAUUUUAUGAUAUGAAGGGGGGAAAAGGAAUGGAUAAUGUCUAUAUAGCAGGAAGCUAGAGAUGCCAUCAGUUGGUUUGUGGGAAAUUAAGCAUUGCUGCUAUAAAGUUGAUGAUAAUUUGAUAUGAUGCUUGAAUUAUUAAAUCAUAAAGUGUAUAAGAGCAUAAAAUACGUAGUUAUUAAAUGUUCUAUUACUCGUCGUCAUCAUUAUCAUCAUCCUAAGAUUUGAGAAGGAAGCAUAGUUACAAUGAAACACAACUUAAUAAGAUUUUUUUAUUUACUAUAUGCUUGAAUUAGUUUUCUAAGUACUCUAGAAUCUGUUUAAUAACUAACAAAUAUCCGUGGGGUGCAAUGACAUUAACUCUUGAAAGCUAUGUCAUGAAAGUAUUAAUUUAUUAGCAAUGUAAAAUUUGGAAUGUUGGUUUCUUGUGUCAUCUAUAUAUGCCUAUAACGUGCUAUGUAAUUUGAUCUUGAAUUAGUUGUUAUAUAUCUGCCUUCAAAAGUUUGGUCUUUGAAUUAUGUUUCUUCCUUGAGUUAUGGUGUUAUGAUGAUUAUUUAAAAUGCUUGGCACACACACUGAAAUUUUUGAAAUGCUUGGUUGAUAUGGCACGAGCCUAAUGUUAAGCAAUAAGCAUAUUUCUAGGUGUAGAUCAAUCAUUGUUGAAAUGCUGUGUCCCUUUAGGCAUGUAUACUUUACAAAACUAACUUAAAUGUAUUUGUGCCAAUUGAGAUAGAAUUUUGGCCAAAUACUCAACAAUCAGUAAUUUGCAUGACAGAAAAGAAAAAGCAUGGUCAAUUAUGACACUGGCUUAUGUGUCCUUGGAUUACUAAAAACUUGGAUGAGAACUUCAUUUUUCCUGGGUCUACUUAAAAGUGUUUUAGAAUUUUUUUUUCUUUAUUUUGAGAAUGUUGCAAUUUUUUUUUUGUUUUUUAUGUGUAUAAAUGUAAGACAACCCAUAAAGCAGUUCAAAUGAAAGCGUUGCUGCAUAAAAUUUUGAACUGUCUUUCAUUCUGAUUCUUUUUCUUCUAUAUCAUUGUUUCUCUUACCAUGCUUCUUUAACCAAAUUAUUUGGUCACCUCAGUAGAACUUAAAAUCUUGUAGAGAAAUCAACCUUUUGUUGAUGAAUGCUCAUACAACUUUAUAUAUGAUUUCCUCCCAGUCUUGAAGCUUUCUUGCAUUCUCAAUAUGCUUUUCGUAAUUUCGUCAAAUGGUAAAUCAAUCUUAAUAGAACCAUAGGUAUUUAAAUUGAAAGGAAGCAUGAUCGAUAUCCUGCUAGUUCAAGGAACUUCUACCUUCUAAUGAAUUAGUAACUUAGUGGAGAAGUAGGAGGGAUCACUCUAUUUUGUACGACUGUCAUUUAUAGUUGGACUCUUGAGAAAAGGAUGCGGUGUUGGGGAGCCUUCAAAGCCUUUCCCUUUUUUUCUUGCCUCGGCUAUAUCAUCGGUGAAUCUAAGAGUUCCAAACUCCCUCCAACUGCCCCUCCCCCCUUUUUAAGUGACGUUGUCCUUACUUCCUCUUACAUUCAUUAGACCUGUGUGAUACUAGUAAUAUACAAAUUCCACCAUUCAAACAAGAUUAAUCUAGUUACCAUCAUUCUCACGUAUCAGCUGUCUGAAUCAUAUUUAGACCUUAAUUAAUCAACAUGGGGAAUGAAGGUCUACAUUCUUGUUUACUGGGGCCCCACCUCCGUAGAAGAGCUUUAUUGGUAGGAGAGCUGAUCUGUUAACAUGUUUGUGAAGGUAGCAUGCUUGUGAUGAGCAGCUCUGCCAGCAGUUAGUUUGCUUUGUUCCGUCUCAAUUAGUUUCAGUGUGUAGAGAUAGCCAGCCAAAGUACUUCAUAUUCCCAUUAUUAUAUCUUCAAGGUUUCCUGCUUAUCCUACAUAAGUUUGCUACGAAUUUUGUAUUCACAGCAAGACUUUUGGUGAUUGUAGAGCUCCAUUAUGUUCCCUUAUUCCAACAGAUACAUUGUCUUUUCAAAUAUACUGAAAUAUUUAGCCCCUAAGGAGGUAUAUCAACUUAGCAUGGAUUCCUAUAUUUUAUAGAAACAAUGAAUUUAAAAAUUAUGAAAAAUUAAUGUCAAACAAAAUUUUUAAAAACUUUUUAUCUGCCUUUGGCUGGAGCAAAACGCGCUAAAAACUUGACCUUGAGUUAAUCAUAACGUUUUUCGUGAGUUUCCCAUGGUGUGAGGAUGCAACAAACGAUAAAGAUUUGAGCACUCCAUGUUAUGAUUGUGGAUACUUAUUUCGCCAUUCCCUUUUCCGUCAGUAAUUCGAAGAUGACCCUUUUUUAGCUGUGCCUCUUCCAAGUUCUUACCCUCCCUUCUCGAAAUAGACAGGAAGGGUUAUAGGUAAUAGCCUCUUUGGGUUAAAAAUCAAGAUUUUGAGGAGUUAGUUGGCGGGUCAAAUGGUUUCUUGAGGUAAAGGACUUCAAUCUCGCAGGGUAUGAUGAAAAGCUCUUACCAGGAUUGUGUUUCCAGGUCGAUUGAAUCAACAUUUCCCUUUUUGUGAUGGAGGGCGAAUCGAGUCUCAAAUGGGCAUCUGGGACCUAUUUUUUAUGCCACCUUGUUAGAUUAACUGUAGGCAACGUUGUUUCAGGUGUAAAGUAGGCAUACGGAUUCCAAGCCUUAUGCAUGCAAAAGAGCCAUUGGAAAACAGGCAUAAUGUAGGAAUAAUUGUGCUGGUCAAUGUGCGAUGACAGCCAUAAGUAUUCCAAAGGAGAGCUGUCAUAAGCUAUUUUUUGGUAUAAAGGCAUCUUUUAUUACCUACUUUUUACUUUUUUAUGGACAAAAACCCUCUUGUAAAAGUUAUUCCAAAUAUGGCAACCAAAUAAAAAAUGGAAUUUCUGUCAUAACUAUUCUUAUAGGCAUAAUUUUUGCCAUGUCCAUCAUUCUCGUUCCCCUGAACCAAAUGCAGCCUGAUAGUUGAAUUCAGGAUAUCGGAAAAUGCCUAUACAAAAAGUUUUUUAAGAAUUAAUAUGUACAUAAACUAGAAAAGCUUCAUUAGUUAUGUCAAAUAGCCAUUAUUAUUAUGUUCUUAGCGUACUCAUUUUAGUCUAACAUAAGGAUAAGUUAUGAUUGCUGGUAUUGUUAGGGAAUUUUCAUUUGAUUGGGCUUCAGUCUUGAUAAUACUUGAAUAAAGUGAAAUGAAAAUGGCAUAGAGGCUUGUGAUCUGACAGAUUUUCUGUGGUCCUCAUUCACUUUUCUCGAGUAAUUCAUUGAUCGGUCCUCUUCCUCUUUGUGCAUCAUGUUAUCUUUCAGGCAAGUGUUUUUGUUAAUUUUCUACUAACGAUUAUGUACUUCCUAUGGAAACUAUUAAGGUUUUGUCCAUUGUAAUUUUCUAGAUGUUAAUAUUUUUCUGGGUACCCCAGUGCAUUAGUUCAUAAUAUGUAGUGAUGGGAAAGUUGACGAGGAUGAUGCCUUAAAAUAUUUUAUUGCAAGUGGUUCGCAUGCAACUGUCAUGUGCUAGCGUGAUGGUUGGAGGGCAUGAUACCAUAUGGAUCACUUCAGGGCAAUUAAGAUGUAUUUGCGCUAACUGAUAGUGGCAAAGCGGGUUUAUAUCAGUUAUAUAGGAAAAUGAGGUUGAUUUAGGAGUAACCUAGAUCGCUUGGGUGGUUGAAAAUGAAGUCAUGGGCAGCCAUCAUUUGGUUUUGUAUGAUGUGGGCAUUAGAUUCCAGAGUUGCUUGGUCAUGUUAAGCAAAAGAUUUUGACUAGUAAGGUUUUGGUACAUAUAGUAUUAGUAGGAAGGGGUAAAUUUCCUUUAGAGGCUUCAACUUGUUGCUUGAACUCAAGGCAGCAGAUGCAGCUAAGUGAAGGAAAACUAUAAUUAGUUGUGGAUUUGGAUGAUAUAGAAGGACAUGAAUGUUGUGUUUAGAGGCAAGGAGAGAUGUUUCCCCUAAGGUGAACUUGCAUGGACUUCCAUCAGCAUUGUUUUGGGAUGGCUCAUGCCAAGGCCACUUGAGACUAAAAGGGGAAGUUUUAGGAGGAUAGGACUUAUAGACUAGUUGAAAGAGGUGAAGUUUAAAGGUGUCGAGUUGGUAAUCGGCAAACCGUUACCAACUCACAUUUGCGAUGAUAUGCAUGCAUCAAGUUGGGUGCGUUCAUUUCUUUGUAAGUAGAAGAAUAUCUGAUGGAAAAUGUUAAGUUUGUAGCAUCAAAUUAGUGGGACAAUUGUAUUUACAAGUAUUCAUUUUUGCGUUGCCUAACUUUCUACUAGUUGUUCUUUUGAGCAUGAGGAGACUAAGGAAGCAUCAAUUGUUCUUUUAUCCAACUUUGUAUUUGACAGUAGACUAGUUGCAUGUUGACCAUCACAUGCUUUUGGAAAUUGACAAACUAUAUGUGGCAUUGCUGGUAGUACUUUCAAUAAAGGUGUGUUUGGCUCAUGGAAUCGAAAUUGGAAUGGAAUCAGAAUGGUCAUAUUCUUCGACACAUUUGGUUCAUAAUUAGGAUUGGAGUUGGAAUUAGAAUGAAAUUUGAAUACCAGGUGGGAGUCCGGAUUAGAUUUUGAGGAAUUGGGUCGUUCCUAUUUUUUCUUGAAAUCGGAAUAAGAAUGGGACUCCUUCCAACCAAACAAUUGGAAUGAGAGUCACUUAUUUCCAUUACCAUUUUCAAAGUCCAACUCUCCCUACCAGACAUGCCCUAAGAUUAGUAGUGUUGACCGAGGAUUCAUGUUUUUGGCAUUCUUCUCCCUCUAAAAUGUCAAGAUAGCGUCAGGACCUAGGAUUGAUGUUGCAAGCUCUAUACAAAUUCCGAUUUUUGUCAAAUAAGAAUUCCUUAAACAUGCUUUUGCGAAUCGGUAUUUUCAUGUGGAUUUGCAAUACGAUUCAUUAUAUAUUGUUUUAAAGAGACGACUUUCCGUGAAGGCAUGUAUUUCAUGCCUUUGCUGGGACUCGGGUUUACCUAAAUUACUUGUUCCCAUUUUGCAAAUUUGUUCGUUUCAUACAGAUUUGCAAUUUGAUUUCUUAUAAAUUGUUUUAAUGGGAUGGCUUUCCAUGGAGAGACGUAUUUCAGUCUCUGCUAGGACUCUCGAUAUAUAGGAUUGGCAAUUGAGUUGGAAUCUAAUCCUAUGAUAAGCUAGAUGCUUUGGUCUCACUAGAGUUUUAAUCUUUGCGUCCUUACAAAAUUAAUGGUUGGAGCUUGAAAGCUCGGAGAGGUUAAAAUUGUUUGACAAAGUGAGAUCGUGGAAGGAUCGAGGAGUUCAGAUGUAUGGAUGGGGCUGAUGUAUUAUUUAAAAGGUUGGGAAGAGAUCCUAAGGUAUCUCAAUUAUUUGAAAAUUGUGCGGGUCAUUAGAUAAAAUUGUAAAAGGUAUGAAUUUUUAGUCCAUGAUUCUUGAUCAACAUCUGUGAUUUAUCAAAAUCAAUAUUUUAACGAGUUAUUAUCAAGGAUUGUAGUACUCGUUUGCUUGUUAACACAUUAAUAGUAAUUAAAAAAACGUAUUUUCUAGUCAUACUGGGGUUCAUUAUUAAAGUCGGGUUCCCUAGAAAAUAGGGUAUUUCAAUUUUCAAACCUAAGAUCAAACAAAGUGAACCAAUGGAUCAGGUAACGUAGGACGCGCUAUAGUGGUGACGCCCUUUUUGCAAGCAAUCAGAGAUUCCGGGUUUGAUGGUGUAUUUUCAACAACCGGAACUACGUAAUUAUAUUGCUGGUGGUGGCCACCCUUCCUUUCCCAGAAAAAAACAUGCAUUUGAGCACCCGUUUGCUCUUGUACUCUUCGUCCAACCAUUCAAUAUGUGGCAUUCUUAUUGAAACACAUGCACGGCUGCCAAGAGUACAUAAGAUCUCCAAAGAGAAGAGAAAGACAAACGUGGCAUUGCUAUUCCCAGAUUUUUUGGAAGGCCUCGAAAGAGAAGCUCUUACUAGAGGCCAAUUUUUUUUUUUUUGCCAUGGUUAGGAUAUAUUUGUAGCCUCCGUAUGCAAUUCUUCUUUUGCGCCCUAGCGGAUGCGACUAACUAGUACAUUUAGCGUAAAUUGGCAGGCUAGGGUUAGGAACAUUCUUAAGAGUAAACCCUGAGAUGAGACGAUAGGCAUUUGUGCCCUUGUCCGUUAUCAUCGUUGCCAGUCUCUCAGAGAAUAACGUGACGUGGUCUUGCUCUGGAGCUUCACCAAGGUGGCGUUUCCCCUGCCUGCAACACGAUCGAAAUGUGAACGGUUGAGGGCACCAAUUUGAGAUGGGACGUCGCUUAAAUGCCUCGAUGCUUUAUCAGUUGCAUGCGUAAGUUGGCACAACGCGACUUUUCAUCUCUCGUGCUUAUCCAAAAUUUUGAUCUACGUGCCCCCGUCGGAAGUACGGUUUCAUCCGACGUGUUGCAUUGCUUCUCCGAAAUUUUGAUCUACGUGCUUGUACGAAAUUUUGAUCUACUUGCUUAUCCGAAAUUUUGAUCUACGUGCCCAGGUUCUUGUUAAGUGAUUCCUGGAUUCGAAAUUCUGCAUGUUUGUGCCCUCGACGUCUAAAUGAUUCCUGGAUUUGUUAUUGAGGCAUCGAACAAGAUUUGAACAACCAUAACGGAAGGUGGAAGUUGAGUUCUCGAUGGUUGUUUGUUAAAUGUUUCAUGGAUUCGCUAUCGUUGCAUCGAACAAGAUCCACCACGAAUUAUUUUAUACAGGAGUAGUGUUAGCACCUACUUGCUUACGCGGGAGUGGAUAUGGUUUUAUGGCAUGAUGUACUUGAACAUAAGCUAUUUUGCUCUCAUCUAAUUCAUGUUUAUUAUAACUUUUGUCCGACCUAGAUUCAAAUUUGGAUUUUAGGUUUUUUUUUGGAUUUGGAUGAGGAUGUUCAGUAAAAUUCAAACUUAGGAUUCCAGAACUUAGGAUGCAAUGCUGGCUAGGCUCAGCAAAAGAUAUAAUUGAAUUGGUCGGAUUUGAGCUUAACCCAGCCGACUUCGAGCCUACUUUUCAGGCUUGAGCCUAGUACUUACUUGGGCUUGGGGCUUUGAGUCGGGCCUUGGGUUGGAUCGCAGGCUUCCUAGAUUUUUCUUUUAGUUAAAAAAAUAUAAAAAUGUAUUUGCAAAGAUUAAAUAUUUGAAAGUGAUUGAUAAGGCCCAUGAACUUAUGUUUAUGGUUGUUAUAAGGAGUGUUAGCGAGGCUUAUUAUUUAUUUAUUUUUCUUGUGACCAAAACCAUAUUCCUAAGUAGGGGUGAAAGUGGAUCGGAUAAUUUGCGUCUGAUAUGUUUUCAUAUCCGAAUCUGUCUAGAUAUAGAUAGAAAUUUGAUUAUCCGAUUAAUACCCAUAUUCAUAUUCACAUCCAUAAAAAAAAAACGGAUGUGAAUAUGAAUAUGAAUAGACAACUAUUUGAUUGGUAUCCGAAUAUUUCAUUAUAUUUAUAAUCUUAUUUAAUUUUAUAUAGUACUCAUGAAUUUUUAAGAGAAAUAUAUAACCUAAUUAACAUGCUAUUAACUUGAUUUAUCAUUCAUUAAUUUUUUUUGAUUUUAUGGUUAUAAAAUUUAGUUAUUUGAUUUAAAUUUAUAUUUAUAUCCAUAUUUUUAGUAUCCGAUUUGUAUCAAUAUCCGUUUAAAAUAAAUAUGGAUAUAAAUUUUUGCGUUCAACUAAUAUCCGUAUUUGUAUUUAUAUUGUUAAAUAAAACAAAUAUGGAUAUGGACAUACUGGUAUUCGAUCCGUAUCCAAUUUGGUUUCAACCAUAUUUCUAAGACAUAAGUAUAUGUUCUAUGUUAUAUAAAAUUUGGGUCAGGUAUAGCUAAACUCGAGCUUGGCCGGUUUUAACAGAUGGGCUCAUAUGUUAUGCCUGGCCCAACUCGUCGGGUUUAAAAUCCAUGCCCAAGCCCAUCCAAAAUGCUUCGAGCUUUGGUGGGCCAUCCAGCCCAUGAAUAAGACUAAACUAGAGACACGUCGAAGAAACAAACCCAACCUCCUAAUUUUGUAGGUUGUUCUUAUACCUAUUGAAAGUAUUGAUAUUGUUAAAUAAUCAUUUAAUAUAUUCAAUUUUUUUUAAAAAAUAAAAAAAUAUUUUUAGGUAUUUUCAAAAUUUAUUGCUAAAAUAUUUAGAAAUCUUAGUAACUUCUAUGUACAAUAUAUUUAUAUAUACUUUUCUUGCACUCUCUCUAUAAAAAAUGUAAUUGAUGAUUAUUUUUUAUUUUUGUUAUAAUUAAAAAGUAAUAAUAAUAUUUGAUAAAAAUUAUUUUUGAUAUUUUUAUAUUAUAAUUUAUUUUAAACAAUUUUAAUACUUAUUAUUUUAAUGAAAUUCGGUCGGGCUAAUAAUUUGGACUCUUUUUUAAGUCAGUCUCCAUGCGGUUUUAAUAAUCAUGUUUUAAACUUUUAGUUAUCUUUCGUGAUAUGUAAUCUACAUAGUGAAUUAAGAUUCUUUAUUAUAAAAUUAAUAUUAUUUUUCAUUAUUGAGUUUUACUAAAAAUUCGAUUUAUAUCCGACUUAUGUUCGUGUUAAGGUGGAAAAAUAUAGAUAUAACUAGCUUCCAACUUGUAUGUAUAUAUACAUAUAUAUACACAUACAUAUACAUAUGUAUGUAUGUAUGUAACUAUGCAUGUGUAUAUGUAUAUGUAUUUAGGUAUGUAUGUAUAUAUAUGUAUGUAUAUAUAGAGACGAAAUAUGGAUAUUAAUUUUUGAUAUCUAUUUAGUAUCUAUAUUCGUAUUCAUAUUCGUAGAAUAUAGGGAUACAAACAGGACUAUAUCUCUGUUAUACGAGGCCGAUGCGGAGUACGAUGAUGGCAUAUAUUGGACUCCCAAGGGGGCACGCUCGUUUAAAUUCCAUUGCAAGAAAUCUUGAAUGUUAUGUACGUCCGGCGGAAUCCCUAGGAUUUAGCUCAGCCUGUAGUGGUCAUCGAAGUACAAUGUUCUUUCUAGUCUAGCGCAUGAUUAGCAUUCACUGUUUCUCUUCCUGACGUUUUUAACAUCAAACGUGGAAUACUGAUAGUGUUGGGAACGAUUGCAUCCACUUCCAAUGUUAAGAGAGCGAGCAUUUGUAGCCUUUCCAUUCCAUUGUUACCGUUGAGAAGAAGGUGAUGUAUUUCUUCUACGAGAUUCUUCCGACAGAAAAAUGUUUUACGCUAUCUCACUCCUUUGUAGAUCUAUUUUGCAGCAUAAAUGCCUCGUGUUUGUCCUGUCGCCGUCAAGCUUACCAAUCUAUUAUUAUUUCUCUUUGUAGGUGAAGCUGGACGCCAUUUUCACCCUAUAUUCCUGCUGAUGGAGACGUGGGAGAGCAGUCUUGUAUAUUCCGCUGCAUUAGCAUGCAGACCGAGUUUAACGGCAGUGCCAUAUGGAUAGAUGCAUCAUGAAUAUGUUUUCUUUACCAAAAAUAUUGGACUAGUAAGUAGGGAAAGCUGUUUUAUUAGGAUAAAGAGACCUUAGCUGAUGAUGUGGUUUUAAGUUUUAUAUGAACCGAACAACAAUUUUAGAAUCUGGAUGCUUGGUCAUUGCAGUAACCUAUUAGUGCCAUUGAUGAUAACAAUUUUGCUUGUUCCAUUAUUUACGUUUGUUUUUUGAUCCCUUUUUCUCUUUUAAAUUGAACUCAGAUCUCUGGCAUAACCGACUAAGUGGUUUUACUAGUAAGAUAAGGCUAGCACCUUCUUCUUUUUCACUGUUCAUUGAAUCAUUUAUUUGAAUUACUACUUAGUUAUAUGUAAUUGAAUCUGGAAUGACUUGAAAAAUGAAGCUUAUUUCUCUACAAGUAGUAGGUUCUUAUACCUUGAUCCAAGUGUGGUUGGUCAUAGUGGGACUAUCCUUCUGGGUUUCUUGUAGUUGAUCUUGUGACCAAGUUCUUGUACAAGGAUGCAUCUCGGGUUGGGCUCAACUUGUAUCCCAUUGGCCCAACUUUCCUGUUGGAUCGGGUCCAACGAAACUUUUGUGAACUUGGGCUAAGUCCGACUUGCUGGUUCCAACCCAGCCCAAAUUCAAUACGAACGUAUCUCGAGCCCUUGAACCAAAACAUCAAAAGUGUUCGACUAAAUAUUUCAUAUGUGAUGCUUAUAUGCUCGAUGUAAUUAUAUUACUAGUUCUGUUGAACUAAAGAACUGUACAAGCAUCACUGCUUAUGGUGCCUCCCACAUUUCCUUCUUUCAAUUCAACCAAACUUUAGAAGCGUUGCAAACUUUCUCUACGUUAAAAUCCUGAAUCAACCUAAAGCAACUGGAUUAAUAGGACUCGAUCCAAUCCAAUACCAACCCAACGCAGCUUGAAUGGUAUCAAGUUGGAUAUAUCCGGAUUCCCACCCUAGGGCCGGGUUGUGUUUUGUCUGGCUUGAGAUCUAUAGAGCUUUGGUUGGAUUUUAACCAUGUACAACCCAGUCUGUUUGACUUGCACCUUUAGUUGUCUAUAAAUUCUUUCACCAAAGAGAGAAAAAAGGGAGAGUGAAGACUUCUUGGUCAACGGUGACUGCUAAUGCCGCGUGGCCCAUGUAAUUGAUAGGAUGGUUGAAGUUUUUAAGACUGUUGAUUCUUAGGAGACAUUCAAGUGUAGUUUGACUUGAUUUUGAUUACCAGCUAUCAAUCAAAUACCAUCCCUUAGUUUUCUAAUAUGACCAUUGAACUAGUAUCGACAACCUUAAAAUAUCAACCGGCAUAACAUUUAUGAUGUGUAUAUGAAAAAAUGAUAUUGUACUCCAUAAGGUUUUUCAUGGCAAUGAAGGGGGCAAUUCUGACUCCACAUGUGUGAUGGCGCAUAUUUAUAGCUUGUAGCUUAUUUUUUCAACCGUGCAACUUUAAUAAAUUUAGCCUUUUAUUUAAUAUUCAUAAUAAAUUGAACUCUUUUUCCUAUUUUACCAGAAUUAUUUAAUGUGGAACAGAACAUUCGCUUUUCAUGCUGGGAUAGGUGGACUGAUGGUUUAGUAUAAAGAUGCAUGACAAUUUUGAUGUAUUUAAUUGUGGUCUUCAUGUAAUAUGAAUUGUUUCACUAAUUGAGGGCAAUAAAAGAUGUAAAAAUGUGAAAAUGAAAGUUGAAGUUACUUGUCACACUAUGCUUCUCCUAUAUUGUUCCAAUAUACUAAUAUAUCUUUAGAGAGAUGCCAAAAAUGCUCGAUCCUUCUACAAGAUACUUCUCAAAAUAAGAUAAAUGUAGAGUUGCAUAUGCUUAAUUUGUUGUUUCAAAUCUAGUUUGUCUAAGAUGAAUUGUUUAUCUAAUAGUUACUCAUCAAGGAAAAACAAAACUUCUACCAUAUUAGUCGAAUUAUCCAUGACAUGUUUAUUUUAUUUUAUUAAUUUUUUUGAAUGACAUGUUUAUUGCUAGUGAGUUGCAUAUGUGGGAUGGACAUAUAAAUAAACUUAUUGAUUACAAUCAUAUGAUUAUGAAACCAAAUGUUUGUCGAAAGCAAUCAAUUCUCCUUUGGAAAUCCUAGUCGAGUUGAUCAAGUACUAUUAAAAACAUUAUCAUUUGUCAAAAUAAAAUUUGUAACCAGAGGAAAUCACUGAAAUACGAAAAUAAAAAAUCAUACUCAUUAUGAAUAGAAAAUAAUAAAAAAAUGGGCACUCCCAAAGGUCCCUCUUCUUAGUGGGGAGAUCUCUAAGUUGGACUGAAGGUAGUAACUAGUCCAUAUUUCUUAUGGAAAAAAGGAAAAUCAAAAGUUAGACAAUAAUAUGUGUUUCUAACUUGUAACAGUAAAAUUCUUAUUGUCUAGAAGUUUCCGACACCACAUUUCUCACUAUAAAAUAUUUUGAAUGUUCUACUAUAACUUCAAUUUUCACCAAAAGCACUCCAAUUGUGAGAAAAAAUAACACUAGAUAGAAUGAAAGUAGUUUGAAGUCUAAAAUCCAAUUGCAAUAGCUUUGAUGAAGUUUACAAUUAGUUUGUUUGCACAAUGUUGGUCAUUAAAAGUCUAGCUUAUCUUUUGGAAAAAAGUUUAUAGUAUGUAGUAACUUAUAUACUAUUAGGGGGUGCAAAUGAGAUGCAAUCACAAGGAAGAUAAAAGGAUUUGGUUAGGGCAUCUCUACAUUGAUAUGGGCAUAAAUGUGCAUGUGUGUUAUUUAAUGUUUUAAUGUUAAGUGAAUUGGUUCUUCCUUCAUGUCCCUAUCAUUUAAAUUUCUAAUAUUUAGAAUUAAUCGUUUAACUUUGGAAGAUCAAGAUUUGAAAUCAAAGACUACACUCAAAAUUUGGCAAAGGACAUCUAUUGUCCAUGUGAAAGUUCAAGCAAAGAUAUUCGUAUUGAAGGCUUUUAAAUUAUCAAAAUAAUUACCUUCAGUUGCUUUAUAAGACAAGCUUCAAGUAUUACUUAAAAUGAUGAAAUAUGUUGCACUCUGGUAAGCUAUGCUUACCAAUGUGGAUCCUUCAUGUUGGUUUGGUCAAACACUAUAAGAUAAUCAUUUCCAUUGCUUCAAUUUUUAAUCUUCCAAUUAAAGAGGAUUUAGUAUUUGUUAAGUUUGUACUCUUCUCCAUGUGUCAAUAGGUCAAAAUUAAGUUUGGGCGGCCCCAAAUCUUAAUGUUGAGUCCUAAGCCUGUCCAGGCCCCAGCCCUACUUUGGACAUUCAAAUAUAGGUCCUAGAUCAACUCAUGUCUGGAUUGCUUUAAUUGGCAUUGCAUUGAUAACCGAGAAUUUAAAGUAACACUAUUGAAAUCUAUAUUGUUAUUUUAUUAAUACGGAUUCUGUACUAAUAUGCAAUGUACCCCUUAGUGUUAAUAUAGUAAAAUAGAGAUGAAAUACAGUAUGAUAGAGAUGGCACAAUACUAAUGUGGUGAACAUACUAGUACCAAUCUUUCAAAAUUGUUUAGUGAGAUUGAUAUGGAUCAAUAUGCAUUAAAUCCUUGCUAAUAACACCAACAUAAGGCUUUAGUGAAGUUUGCAAAUUUUAUUCUACUGUUUAUCUGCUUAUUUAUGCAGUCCUAUUAUUCUCUCUCUUCAAAAAUAUCUGCUUUGGAUAAAACAAAUGGUAUAAUAAUUUCCAAAAAUAUAUGUGUAUGGAUGUACUGCCGAAGAUCAUCUUUUAUCUUUUUCUGUAUAUGAUAAUUUAUCCAACUAUUACAUUUUAAGUUAAUACCCUCAUGGCCCUCGAGCCUAAUAGCCAAGUCCAAGCACCACCUGGUCCACAGGCUGUUAUAAAAUAGAGCCUGAUCCAAAAUGAGCCAAGCCAUAUACAUGCUCAAGCUAUGCUAAGAAAAAGGAUUUAUCCUCAAAAUAGUACAAGCAUGCAUACCUGCAUGAAUACGUGUUGUUUCAAGCUAAAUUUAGCACCCAAGUGAUCAAGCUCGUCGUAUAUCGCUAAGCCAGAUCAGGACUUGCUCGCUCAGUUUAAAUGCAAUACAAGCGAUAUCUUUUAAACCAUGCUUUUUAAUCAAAACAAAAACUAUCUUUCUAAAAAGGCAUUAAUCAAGUCCUUAUUCUACCAUUCGAUGAUCCUCCUGGCUCAAACAUCUUCGAUCGACUCAUCUGUAGCACUAAGCUUUGACAUCAAUUUUUGGCUGCACAGAAUUCUUAAAGAGAAAAUUUAUCAUCCUGAACUAAUACAUUUCGAUGGAGAAAUAUGACUGUCAUUCAAGAAUAGGAAGAGAUCAUGCAUCCAUGCAAUGACAUAGAUGAUAUCAUGCUUAUAAGUAUCACUGUCUCUCAUGCAUGAAAAAAUAUCUUAGGAGAUUACAUUUGUCAUAGUAAGUAAUUGCAAUAUUAUUGAAUUUAUCCAAGUAUGUAGGAACCCCAGAUUGGUGUCACACGGUCCAAUAGAAAGAGAUGCUUGAAGCUGAUUCUUGGUAAAAUUAUAUGUUACCAAAAACUUAGGAAAAGAAGCAUUAGAACCAUGCUUAUCUCCCUCCAUGGCCCCCUACAUAGCAAUUCGAAACUCGAGAGAUCAUUUCGUCGUCGUGUCCCGUUGCUUUAAAGCUUAUGCUCGUUCUCGCCCGCCCGCUCGCCCGCCCGCUCCUCCAUUUCUGGUCUUUCGCGUCUUCCAAUAUCUCUCCAAUCCCUUGGCACUCCGAGGCCGAUCGAGCGAAAUCCCGCCGUUGUUCGGAGAUCUCAUCACUCUGCGGCAAUGGCCCGCUCUUCAGGUCUCAGCUCUCUCGCUUCUUCUGAAAGAUCGGAUUUUUCUAAUCUCUGGAUGCCCGGCUCCCCGCAUAUCUAAGGUUUGGAUCGGAGGCACGGGAAAAGGAGCUCCUUUUUGGUAUGGUUCAUUCUUGAUCCUCGGGUUCCCUUUUUAGUUUGUCUCUCUUUUUUCUCGGAUUUUGAGGAGUUUCCUAUCGUGGUGAUGCCAAAUAGGAAAGAUUCUGAUAGUUUUCUUGAAUCGUAGAUACCUUUUUUCUGGGGCUUCUCAGUUUCCUUUCUAGCAGUCUAGAAUAUUGGAGCGAUUUUUUUUAUAAAAGGAAGCACCUUUCGUUGCCUCCGAAGACUUGUGGAUCGUUUUCUUUCCAGGGCUCCGUCUCUGGUUCAGAUCCCCACUUAGUUCCAGGAUUCCCAUUGGUUUCUCUUGCAAAGUUGAUUCCUUUGAGAUAAUUAGUCUUGGAAAUCUAAAUCAUGGACAAGGACAAGGCCCCAGUUCAUGGCGGAGGUGAUGGUUUCCCAACCCAUUCUUCUCGCUUCUCUGCUUUUGCUGCAUCCUCGAGCAAAGUCCCGUUUAUGGGUGAUCCCUCGCCUUCAUCCUCCUCGCAUUCCAAUCCAGAAUCCAGCCGUUCCGGCCAGCUUAGCCACGACAUCAGCCGCAGUCCGGAUUUCCCACCGAGAAACCCCGGCCAUCGACGGGCCUACUCGGAGAUCCUCAGAUUCCCAGAUGACACCAGCUUCUAUAGCGACCUCGGUAUCGUUGGCCCAUCAUUGUCUGAUGACACUGAUGAGGACUUGCUCUCUGCCUACCUUAAUAUAAAAAAGUUGAAUUCUUCUUCGGUCCUGUCGGGCGGUCAGCCUUCUGGGCCGGCUGCAGCUCCCCUUUCUCCUUCUCAGACCGAGAACUUGGCCUCGGGUUUGAAUGAGAGGCCGAGGGCUAGGCACCAGCAUAGCUGGUCCAUGGAUGGGUCCUCCUCGGUUCUGCUGGGGUCGAGCAGUGAGGGACCGACAUCAGCUGAGAUGAAGAAGGCUAUAUCAGCUGCAAAGCUUGCUGAUCUUGCUCUCGUUGAUCCAAAGCGAGCAAAGAGGUUUGGCUGAUCCAUCACAAUUUCUUUUUUUAUUGUGUUGAAGAAUGUACCUCCUGCAUUGCACAUAGGUCUUGAAGGUUUAUGUUGAAAUUAAAAGCAAUUACACUUUAAGAUAUGUGUAGCAUUGGAUUCUAAUCCAUGUCAAACAGGUGAUAAGAGGUCAGCCUCAAUCUUGCCUAGGAUAUGAAGAAGAAACUAUGGGGUAUUCAAUAUUAAGUAUAAAUUUGGCAUGAACUUAAAAGACAAAGUGUAGAGGGCUUUGGAAAUAUCCAUGCUUUCAUGCUCCUACUCUUGAAUCUACUUGCACACCCUCACAGUGAUCUUUAAGCAACAAGAAUCAUAAAUGCAUCUGUCUUUAUAAAACAAGAUCCUUAUGCAACAUAGUCGCAUUUGCUACCCCGUACUAUUUAAUAUUCCUUUAUUCCAGCACCUACUGAUUGCACCUGCCCAAGUUAAGAAUUUUCAGAGUUUGCGUUUUCUCCAUAGUAGGUUUUUCAUCAGCAUUUUCUUCAUAUCAAGUUUUCAAUCAGCAUCUCUAACUACUAGAGUACCUGUGAGUGCGUUCAGUUAUGAGAAUCGCUGCUUCUAGCAUAUCAGAGGCCCAGUGAUGGCAACUGUCAGUGGCAUCUUAUUAGAUACCAAUCUUGUUCUGUCUCAUGCUUAAUUGUUGCACAAAUUUCUUCUUUCAUGACCUUUUUCUGUAGGCAAAUGCAGCUUAAGCAUAUACAUGGGUAGAAUUACAACUUUUGGAACUUCCCCUUCCAUGAUAUAGCUGCUCUUUAUAUUCUUCAUCCCUAAGCUUGUAACUUUGGCCCUUAAUCCAAAAGCCCUAGAUUAAACUCUGGGGUCGUAACUAAUAAAAUUGAGACAAAAUUGCUGCUAGGUUACACUUUACUGUCAUCUCACAGAAGAUCAUUGUUUUUCUUAGAUUUUUGUUGUUAAUUUAGUUUUAUUAUUUUCACAUAAACAUAUCAUUGUUUGUGACACUAUGAACUAGUUUUGAGUGCUAUUUAAGCAGCAAGGAAACAUAAAAUCCACCCAUUUCAUACAAUGUAAUCUAUCAGGAAACAUAAAAUCCACCCAUUUUCGUAAAAUGUGACCUAUCAUUCCACAAGUGAAAUUGUAAAUCAUCCUUGACCAUGCAUCUCGCCAUUACUUAUGUAUUCAAGUAGCAUCGAAUUCAACCCCGAUCAGACACCAUUCAGAAAGCUCUUCAUCAUUAGCUGUAACAUUAUUUUGACUGUACAUUUUGUUCAUUUAUAAUGGUUCAUGCUCUUUCAUAUAAUUCAUACAUGUUAAUAAGAAAAUGUAUCAUCUUAAAGUAAAAUUUAGGUACCAAUUUCAGGUGUGUAACAACAAACUUUUAUUCUCUUACACCCAAAUCAUGUAUAUAUCUCUUAUGCUACAGCAUCUCUUUGCAUGUGUUUCUAGUUGACAUGCUCUGUGUUUUGUUUGGGGAUAGUUACAACUUUUGGAACUUUGUUUUUAAUUUAAAAACUAUAACAUAAAUGAAUCUUUGGGCAUGCUCAUUUUAGUUUCAACUCUGUUGAUAGAUUCAUGAAAACUUGCCAUGCACAUCACACACACCAUACCUUAUACACAAGAUUUUUGUCGUCGAAUCACAUGCUUAAAAACAAAGUUCUUAGGGAUCAUGAUAUGUAGUUGCCACCAUUGUUUAUGCACAGCACUUCAAGAGCAUCUGAUUUUUGAAUUCAACCAUAAUAAACAGUGCCCUCUAGAUGGAGAAUGUUAGAUCAUUUUUAAUUUGAUGAUCUUGGUAAUUAUUUUACCACAUCAAGUGUAACAAUCUAUAAUUUUGAAUUAUAAGAAAAACAGAAAAAGGAAAAGAACAAGGAAUGACAUUGGUCUUGUAUGGUGUCAACCAAGUAAUUUUCCCAUGUGCAUUGUGUGCCAACACUUCAUUUACCAAACUCUUCUUCUAUUCGACUACAGUUAUCCUGUGUGUUUGGGUCCUCAAUAUAAGAUGUUUAGAUACAUAAUGUUAUAUGUUGUUGCCUCAACCUAUGUAUUUAUUUAAAACAAAGAUACUGUUAAAUCUUCAAACAUGUUUAUCCCUGUUCUUAAUUUCUAUAUUGAUGAUGACCUUGGCGGGAUGGAUAGGAUUUGGGCAAACAGGCAAUCAGCUGCAAGAUCAAAAGAAAGGAAAACGCGAUAUAUUGCUGAGCUUGAGCAAAAGGUGCAGAGUCUCCAAACAGAGGCAGCAACAUUGUCAGCUCGAUUAACAUUGGUACAGGUAUAUAUCUCAGUAGUUGUUUCAUCAUUGUACAUAUGUUAAAUUUGAAAGACUGGAAAAUCCUAGAAAAUAAACUAGGACAACACUCCAACUUGCUUCAUCCGACACCACUAUUAUUAUUACUUUAAGAUUGAACUAAGAACCAUUAAUUAAUCAUAUUGGCUGUUUGAAUAUCAGAUCUACUUAUGUAUAUACCUGCAUUGGCAGAUGAGAAUGCAAGAUGUUAAAGUUUCAUAUUAUUUGAUCUUAUGUACUUGUUACAAGUCUUAAGAGUUUAAUUAGACCUAAUUCUGCCAUGCUGCUAAACAAUACUUCUUGCAAGCCCUCAAACCCCCCACCCCACUGAAAAGAUAAAUAAUAAAAUAAAUAUACAAAAUAUUUUCCUUUAAGUUGGUAUAACUAUUCCGUACUAAUGAGAAGUUAUUGCGGAUAUGGGAAGUGAGCUUAGAUUUGGGAAUAGGGAAUGCCAGUUUAAAGAUAUGUAGGAAAACAUGGGAUAUAAAAAUCUUUGCCUUUCUUACUUCUCUACUAUGAAUUUCAAUUUUUUCCUUUGGCACUUGUUUCAUUAUUCUUUUCAAAUUUUCUUCAGGGACAGCUAUAUACUCCAACAGCUUUUAGAAAACUAAAAUUAUUUUAUUUCCCAGGCAUCUUUACCAAGAAAUAGAUAAGCACUUGGAUAUUUGUGUAUUAUAAAUCAAUGUUCAGAGGUUGAUAUGGUAGACCUAUAUCCUUUAUCGAGUUGAGUAAUUAUUAGCAUGAGGAUCUUAUAUAUUCUUGAGCAGGACCAAAAUUACACUAUAUACAUGCAUGGAUUGAAUGAUAUUCAUAUUGGCUUGUAAUUACAGAGAGAUACCAAUGGUUUGACAGCUGAAAAUAGCGAGCUGAAGCUGCGAUUGCAGACCAUGGAACAACAGGUUCACUUGCAGGAUGGUAAGGUUCUUUUAUGAAAUUUGGUACUGUGCACCUCUUCCUAUUAUCUCACCACACGGUUUUCCUUGGUAUGUUCAUUUAGACCUUAGGUUUUCAACAUGAUUGUAGAAUGUGUUUUCCCCUCAGAAAAGGGAAUGCAGAAUGUGGUGGUAAAGCACUUACUUUUCAUUUAAUCUGUCAAAUUUCAAUUGGUUAUUCACUAGCAUGAAGGAAGCAACAAUUAAAAAAAAAUAGUGGCGGUUUAAAAGCUACUGUAGGUGUUGAGGAAUUUUCAUUUUUGUUUAUCGAGGAACGUGAGACCAUUUGGUGUUUUCAACAUCCAUACUUUGUUUGCUUAGAUAUUUUAUUCAUCCUUUCCAAAGUUUAUGCUCUUUUCUUACCAUAAAAAAAAGAAAAAAGCUUAUGUUCUUUAUUUGUGUAGCUUUAAAUGAUGCACUGAGAGAGGAGGUUCAGCGGCUGAAGUUGGCAACAGGCCAGCUGAUGCCAAAUGGCGGUCCAUUGAUGAAUUUUGGACCACCAUUAUUUGGAUCAAGUCAACAAUUCUACCACCACAACCAAGCGAUGCAAUCGCUCCUGGCAGCCCACCAAUUUCAGCAGCUCCCGAUCCAUCCUCAGCAUCAACAGCAGCUGCACCCACUUCAGCCUCUGCAGCAACAGCAGCUGCACCUUCCCCAGCCUCAGCCACCUGCAGACCUGAGGAUGAAGUGUCCAAUGACUUCUUGGAACAAAAGGGGAAAGGGAACAUCAGAUAACAGCAAUUGAAAUGAGUGAGGACAAUUUUUGUGGAGUCAGUAGCUGUCCAACUCAUAUCUAUACUAUGUGACCUGCGUUUUUGUUGUUUAUAUUCUUUGCGCCAUUAAUAUAUGAAGUUUAGAAAGUUCGAUUACCUAGUUUGAUCUGCUUCCUGGAUCAUUUAGAUGUUGGUGAUCUUCCAAGAUAACAUCUGCCAGUUUCUUCUCGUCGUAGCUCACCAUUUUGGUAAAUGUGAUGUUUCACACGAUAAUUUGUUGGUUUAUGAAUUCAGAAGUCGAUUAAGGAUGUUUAUGAAUUCACUUUGCUAAGCACCUGAGUGACAUUGGAAGUUGGUGAUUCAAUUUGGAGCUCGUCUUAUAAAUGAUUGUGUUACUUCUUCUCUUGUUUGAUAUGCUGCAGUGAUUUUUUUUUCUUUUUUGAAAAAGCCAGUUGUUUGUGCUCUAUCUUAGAGGUGCUUGAGGCUGUUUCAAUUUAAUGGAGUAGAUGCUGAAACAAGUCCCUUCUGACUAACAAUUGCAGCCCUCAUCAUUGUUUCUGAUAAAAAUACAGGGGAGAGCUGGACAUGUUCUAGGGCUUGUUCAGCGGCAGAGUUGACAUAAAUUUCAGUGGCACUUGCUGCGAAUCAGAUGCCCAACAACAUAUCCCCUCAAGCUUCCUUCUCUUCAUGUCUCAACAAGGUUAGAACGCCCUGCGUGAUAUGCGGCGACUCAGCAUACUGCUGAGUUAACAAGUAUAGGUUGGAUAGAAAUGUUUCUAGCAAUCUGUUUAACAUCUUGUACUCUGAGAUACUAGAAGGAUGCAUUGAACAAGACUUGAAACCAGUAUCUCUGUUUAGGUGGAGUGUGCCUAGUGUUAUCCACUUAUUAUUCCAAAUCUUGAAUAUUUUGACAUACUAGAUACUUGAUGCUUGGGACCAUCCAUAACACUCAACAGUACACAUGGUUAAUUUAUUGCACCAUUGUCAUCAUAUGUCUACUGUUGAUAUUUCUAGAGGAAUAAAAUUAUUAAACUAACAAAUAAAUUAGGAAACCUUUUAUUGAUUUUGUGAACUAAAAAAGCAAUAUAUCCAUUUCAUUAUUAAUGGACACAUAAAUGGACUGUAUUUAGACAAAUAUAUGUAAGAUAUAAAUGUGUCCCAUGUCUGAUUUUUGAAAGACUCUUGGAUUCUUCUGAACAUUCUGAUACUUGACACUUGUGUUACUUAUCUUAGUAAUGUUGUGUAUGGCAAUUGUAGCAAAAUCUAGUUUAAACCUUUCUAUAUUUUUCACUGCAGCCCUUUAGCCAAUCCAGAAACACUUCCAACUUUCCAAGUCAGAUUCGAUUCAAAUGCUUCGACAUCCUUCUGUUUAAAGAGCUAUGUAAGGACUUUAGGAUAGCAAACAAACUGAUUAGUGUGAUCGAUUGCAAUCCACUUACCAACUGCCAAUGGAUGUAUCUCACUACAUCCCUAAAAAACAUUGCAAUCGGAUCCUCACCUUUCUGCUUUUACACUUUAGAUCCACUUAUUUUGAUCCUGAUGAAACCAAAGGGACAGAAAUAUAGCCCAUAUUUCGUUAAUCCAUUUCCAUGGAAGUCAAAUUUUACGGGUGCGAACAAAGGUUUGUUCUUAUAGUCCCAUCUGUUUGAUCGGCAGGCAACCGUAGGCUGCGGUCCUCGGAGGUUCAUUCCAAGUAUUUACACCCGAGUGAUUAUAGUACAAGUGGAACACCCUCUCAUUUUCUUAAAACAAGAGGUGCAAACAUAUUGGAUUCUUAUUAGAUCCAAGCAAUAUCCAAAUCCAAACCUAAUAACAUAAUUGAGUUUGAAUUUUUCUCAUCACUCGAAUUCAGAUCCAUAAUUGAAUAGCCAAUAAAUAUGAUAAAUUUCAAAAAAUCACUGUUUCGGUAGGACAAGAAGAGAGAAACAAGUAGAAUCUCUAUCCAGAAUGGGAAUAAAACGAGAAAAGAAAGCAAUGGACUCUUGAUCCUUGAUACAGUUAAAAAGGGGUGUGUAGUAUAUAUAUAUAUAUAUNNNNNNNNNNNNNNNNNNNNGGUAGGAUAUAUAUAUAUAUAUAUAUAUAAUUGUUCUUUCUAUAUAUAUAUAAUUGUUCUUUCUAAGUUUCCCCCCUUAUGAAAGAGGAGGAAAAGAUUGGAGCCGAAAGAAUGUCAAGCCCAAUCGGAGUGGAACUAGAGGACAGAGGUGCAUCAUACCGUAGCUUAGAUAAAUAUCCUUAACCAAUGAUCAUAGACUUCAUGAAUUAUAGAUUCUAAUUAUCUUUAAAUCUAUAGUCUGUAUAUGAAGCCAAGAUAUGACUAAAAAGUUCACAUGCAAAUUGCAAAUACGAGUUUUUCCUGAGAAAUGAAGUGCAUAUGUUUGAUAUAUAUUAGAUCUUCGUUAAUAUGUAAUACAUAUCUAGACAUACACGAAUACAUUGCCAGAUAAUUUAUAUGCUAUCAGUUAGAUGUAGGUCGCAUCCAACCCAAGUACCUGAUCCAAUAAACUGUUAAUUAUUGGACUAUCAGAAAUAUUUGAUCCAAUUUGGUGAUCGAAUUAUUGGGUAUUACCGCCCCCCUCAAUUUUGAACUAAUCCAUAGAGAUCACAAAGGUCGGAAGGGCAAAGAUAGAUGUCACAGAUUGACAUUGAGGAAGGAGAUCAUAAUUAAUUGUGCAAUAAGUUUUUAAAGAGCUCUCUUUUCCGAUUUUAAGAAAUUCUGGAGGACAAUAUGAUGGAAAUAACCUCAGUUUUCCAUCAACCUUCUUAGCCCAUGAAAUAUUGUUGUAGCCCCACCUUAUUGUGCCUCUAAACAGCUUUGAGACUGAUGGUUUGGUGCUCAAAUACCUUGCUUGGAAAAAACCUCAUGCUACUCCAUCUCAGGCUUCUCUGAUAAAAAUCCUUGCAUAAUUAUCUAGCCUUUAUAGAACAGGAGGUUCCAAAUAGUGCAAAGGAUGGGGGUUGAAUAAAGAAAUGGCAAACAGAAGCAUGAGGAAACACACAAUAAGCAUCCAAUUUCUGAUACCCUGUAAGUCAUCCCCCUUGCUGCUGCUUUCCAUUAGAUUGAGUUAGGUUUCUCACUGUGCGCCAAAUUACGAGGAUAAAAAGAAAUUUAUAGGAUCCCCAGAUACCUCUAUUCAAAGAACUAAUGCCACACACUCCAAUGGGGAACUCCAUAUUGUUUGAUUGGCUUGUGAUCAACUAGGAAAGAAUGAAAGUGACUCGUCGACGAGCAAAACUUCUGAUCACCUAAACUAUAGAUUCACUGAAUUUGCCAGAAAAUAAUUAUAAUUUUAUGAUUAUAGAUCAUCUAUUACAACCAUGAGUAUGUAAUACUGAGUUAGACUAAUAAAUGACCAAUAAUUGGAAAAUGUUUGCUUGUUCAUAGCUACAUAUUUACCAAACCAGAAACCAGGGAUACCAUGGAGCCACUUAACUGUAAGUAUGCAUCUUAUUAUAUUUAAUAGUAUCAUCAUGACAGCCACAGCAGUGUGUUGAAUUGGUGCUAGCUCAUUGCUUGAGUCUAGAUUGUCUUUUGGAUCUAUAUAUGUUGAAAAUCAUGUUUGCCUGUUCGUUUACAAUAUAUCAUGGAAUUUCAUGCUCGAAAACAAGUGGUAUAGUUGGUUGGAGAAAAUUAGGGAGAAAAAUGACAAUAGGGAAAAAUCAUGAGACGAGAGAACGUUUAGUCUGGAGUAGAACUUUAUAAUUUCAUAAUUCUAGGACUACUUGAAUUCUCAAAGCAUCAAAAGAGUACGUAUGUGGAAUCAAAACUCUUUUCCAAAAACCUAAGGAUCACAGUUCAAUCUAAAGUUAUAAUAGCAACUUGGUAGUGGUGUAUCCAAAUGAAGAAAUAAUGUGACCCCGGCAAUAUUGAUCUAGUGGCCAAAAAAGAAGUUUGCUCAAGCAAUAAAAAUGUAGACCCAUACAUCUGCUUAAUAAUGCCAAUAAGAUCAUCAACAAUAUUCUUAAUGAAGCAAAAUUGAGGUCUUUCAGUUCCCCUAUCCCAUAAGCUUUCAGUAGAAAGAGGUUUACCUAAGACAGCAAAUGGAUGCAGCAGCGCUUACCACAAAAAGCAGAAGGCAACCUUGACAAAGUUUAUGGGAAUGUUAAAAUGACACUGGUUCUGUCAUACCUUCAGAAGGAUGGGACUAGGCUUAAAUUAAAUACACGGAUGUCAUAUGGUGUCAGCAUUUGGUAAAUCAUACCCCCAUGGGUUUCUUCAGUUAUUAUAAAGGUUUAUACCCAAGAUUCUUAGGUCACAGACUCAUUCAAAAAAUAAUUAUGAAGGCGUUUAUACAAAGUGUCUUAAGGCAGAGACGGACAGACUUAAAUGCUUUUACCCAAAUUUAUUAGUAGCUACUUCAACAUGCUAAGAAUAAUCUUUUCAUUUUUCCCAUUAGAAUGAUAUGGGUAAGAAGUCCUAUCUUAAGACUUAGUACUUAAUAUAAGUGAAUAUUUGGUUCCAGGUUAAACUAUCAUAAUUUUUUUAAGUAGAGAUGCAUCUCAAUGGAGGAAAGCUAGGACAUGGCUACAGAUUUUCACCAGCGAAACUGAUGCCCCUGUGAGUGAGGCAAACCAAGGAAGAAUGACAAAAAUGCUGUCCCUAAAAAUAUGGAGAAGACUAGUAAGCUACAACAAGGACAAGAUCAAUUAAACUAAUCCUUUCAAAACUGUAUUUUAUCCGUCCUUCAAGUUUGUACUGCCAUACAGCUUAAGUUGCCGCGCAUUUAGAUAUUAAAAUUGAGGAGUAGAUGCAAUAACAAUAGAAGGAUUUUAUUUGAUGGCCGCUAAAGGCUCUUUUGAGCAAUUGGCUACGGAAAACAAUGAGUAAAGAUUCUAGGUAACUGCGAGUUAUAAGCAACAAUGAAGGUACUGAUGGGUUGGUUAAUGGAAUGCAAAUACCCCAACCUUUGGUGGGAUAUGCCUCGAGUGCAUGCUGUUUUUUCUAUACAGUUAGAUUUAAGGUUGGUGUUUAUGACCACAAUGGAUUUCAGAAGAAUAAGUUAGCUGCAGAGGGUGAGCUAUUCCUGAUAAGGGAUAGUCUCCUUCCUUUAAAGAACUACAUGAUGGGGAAAUGAAAAGGAUAAUGGAUUAAUCUGAAGAAGCGCUCCAAAAUCCCUUAAUUAUUCUAGCUACCUGCUUGCAAGGAGUGAGACUAAACACAAUUGGAUAAGAAAGUUCAAUCUUCAAAAGCUGCUACUGGAGUUCAAAAUUUUACCUGGCUAUAAAAUUGAAUCUUAUUUGAGGAAACCUUUUAACAGGGGAGAGGGGGUUGACUCAGUAUGUAUCGUGAGAUGAAGGGAAACUAUUGCGCAACUUCAUUUUUUUCUUUUAAGAUACAUCUUCCAGUACAUAUUGUCCUAUCCUGUGAAAUAUUUUGGGAGAAUGCCCAUUCAAUGUUAGCCUUCCAUAACUUUCAUGCAGGGCCUUGAAGAGUUAUUCAUGGCUUAGCAUAACAAGUAUUUUGGUAGAAGAUGAGUGAAGAUUUUCAGAGGCUCUGUUUUAUAUAAUAUCAUUGUUCAAGAGUCCUAGUCCCUUAGAAAAAGGCUAUUUAAGCUUGUUUUAAGAUGCAAGAGGAGCCUCAAGCCCUGAAUUUUCACCCGCUGUAUUUGAUAUUCCUUCAGCCAACAAGAGUGUAGGAGAUGGCAGAACUUCAACGCAUGAUGAAAAUUUCGGUUCAUUCUAUAUAAGAUAAGAAAGCUUUCUUCUUACUAUGUUUUCAUGCAUUGAAGUUAUGAACACUUCAAACUCGGUAUUUAAGUGGUAAACUCCGCCUUACUUUUAUUUUUUUAUUCCCUACUUCCGAACACUUCAAACCAAGGACUGUUGUGCUGAUACCGGGCCUUGGAUCGGUUGCCCGCGGCAUGGGUCGGUACGUCCCAAUGCCAUGCCGGGCCUAACCUGUAUCGACACGGUAGAGGAGACGAGAGAGAGGGAGAAUGGGAGAGAGAAAAAAGAGAGAGAAAAGGGAGGCCAAAGGAGGCCGGCGGAGAGUCGGAGAGCCACCGCACGAAGGAGGUGGAGACUGGGCAGCCGCUGUGCGAAGGAGGUGGAAGAGAGGUUCCGCCUCCGGUCCCCUGUUUCGUUCGAAACAGGGGCCCGAAGGGGGCCUCUUUUAUUUUGAAAAUCUUUUAGUGAAAGUCGACAAACCCAUUGUCGACUUCAUUAAUUUUUUUUAAAAUUCUAAAAAUAAAAAGGCCUCCUUCGGGCUCCUGUUUCGAACGAAAUUGGGGACCAAAGGCGAAGCCUCUCUUCCGCCUCUUCUGCGCGGCAACUCUCUGGCCUUCGCCUCCUCCACAUGGCGGCUCCCCAGCCAGUCUCCGCCAGCUGACCUCUCUUUUCCUUCCUCUCUCUCUCUCCCUCUCUCCCCGCUCUUUCUUUCUCUCUCUCUCUUUUCCUCUUUUUCCUUCUCCUUCUCCUUCUCCUCCUCUGUCGCCGAGUCUCGUUUUCGUUGCCGGAACCGUUCCGGUCCGCCAUUGGUACAGCUCGGGACGCUCCGAACUGAGCGAUUCGAGACGAUUCUGCCGACCAUGCUUCAAACUCAUUAUUCAAAGUUUCAGACACUUCAAAUAUACGACAUUAGUCCUUUCAAAAUCUAUAAAAUCAUAAGCCCAUGCAUUCCAGCCUCAAAUGCACUUUCCUACAUAUUGCCUUCUUUUCAACCUCAAUAUGCCGUCCCCAAGCAACAUUUAGGUUUGCCAUGAAAUUUCAGCCUACAAAACAUCUGAUUGCUCCUUCAUAACAGCACAAUUGCAAUCUAAGUACACAAUUCAAAUCUACCACUUACACUUAGUUCUAAUCAUCAAUCACUUAAGUUUCCAUAUGGCAACAUUCUGUCUAGUUCACUUUUAUUCCAUAUUCACAUCUAGUUCUCAACACUAAGCAAUAUUUUGCAGCUGUUCUUAUCCUAUACCGGUCAAUAUUUGAAGAUAUUUACAUCCAUAAAUUCCUAAACCAAUCAAGGUAAUGCUGCAAUGACAUCUUUCCGCAACAAGUUGCAUACCAUUUAAGUUGCUUCUCAAAGAUCAGUAGAAGCUGGUGCUCGUAACUUGUUAAGUACCCUAUUUGCACAGAUUCUAUAAACCUUAUGUGCAUGGUGAUUACCAACCCUCAAAUAAGCUAGAGUCAAUAAGUACAAAUUUUUGUUAAAGAGCUUAUAGAGUACUCUGAGUAUCAUUUUGCUGGUGUUCAAUGUCCUUAAACUAGUUUCUAGAAUAGUAACUUGACUCUAAAACAUUGCAUGUAAUUAUGAUUCAGCUUUUUCUUUUGGUACCCUAUAAGCAAACCAGCAACAUCCAGAUGAGUCAUCAAACAAUGGCCUUUGAUCUCUCACAACAGGUUGUCCAGCAAAUCAAAACAUUUGGUCGGUGAAGCUCACCCAUUUUAAUUGACAUUCAGAAAGGAAAAGGAGCAUCCUUCAGCAUUUAUUAUAUAUCUGUCAUGUUGAUUACAACCUAGAGUUGGAAUGUCAUUGGAAUUUGAAGCCCGUUAACAAAAUUAUCCAUAAAAGGCUUUAUCAGCAUAUUUCACAAAAGCAAUUUGAUCAAAUAGUUGAACUUUAGAUAACACCACCAGCGGAUGUAGUCCACAUAGGGACAAAAUGAAGGCUCAUUCUCUACGUCCUAUUAGUUCUUUUGUUUCUUUCUUCUCUUUGUUUUUAUGCUUGAUUCAAUAUGAAAACUUUAGUUAUCACAAGAAUAGAUGUCUUCAUAACUCAGUUAGAAAGUAGCUGGCCAAUAUUAAGUGAUAUUUCUAGAAACUCUUAAUUAGUUAUCUCAAUGCUCUUUCCACAUCAAAUUUUCAAUCGCACCUGCAUGAUACACUUAGUCAAGAGAAUUGAUGAUCCCGGAUUCCAGCUAUGGAGAAAGAGUCAGUAUAUAUACUAUUUGUGCAGAUUCUAAUAUAUAUGUUGAUUCAAGUGUACCAUCCACAUCAAAUCUUCAAUCUAGCCUACAAUAAAGUGGUCAACACAAUCUAUUGGGCUAACCUGGGAACACUAAUACCUAGCAUUUCCCUCUUUUAGGAAAUGUAAUAAACACAAUAUCUUCAAUCUAGCCUUAAAUAAAGUGAUCAACAUAAUCUAAUGGGUUGACCUGGAAACUCCUAUACCUAGAAUUUCCCUCUUUUUGGAAAUGAAAUAUAAGCAGCAGUAACAAGGUGCUCCAGUAACUUUACAUACAACAAUUAAGGCUCCAAGACUCAGCAGUUAAUGUAAUGAUAUAUAUCACCAAGUGGCAAACACUAAGUGAGAUUUUUAGCAACUCUUAACUAGGUGUCAUCUCAGUGCUAUUUCCACAUCAAAUUUUCAAUCCCACCUGCAUGAUUCGCUUUUGGCAAUAGACCGCAUGAUUCCAGAUUCCAGCUAUGGAGUAUGCAUAAUAUUUGUGCAGAUUCUAAAAUAUGUGUUGGUUAAGUGUACUAUCUACAUCAAAUUUUUGAAUCUAGCCUGCAAUAAAGUGAUUGACACAAUCUAAUGAGCUGACCUGGAAACUCUUACGCCUCACAUUGCCCUCUUUUAGGAAAUGAAAAAAGCAGUGUCAAGAUGCUCCAGGAACUCAAGAUACAAUAAUUAAGGCUAAUAGACUCAGCAGUUAAGGGGGAAUAGUUACACCAUAAUUAGCUAAAGCUUAUGUUAGUUCUUCUGAAACUCUUUAAGUAUCAGCUAAAAGAUGAUAAUGUGCAUGCACAAGAAAUAUCAUUUGAAUGUUGGAUCCAGCAAAAGAAACUCUAUGAUGUCGCUUUGACCAUCCCAUACAUGAUCAAAUCAUGGUAUUUGGAAACAGAUAAAAGUACUGAAUAAUCAUGUCAACAAAGUAUAGAAUGGAAAUUUUUAUUGAUGAUGGCUGCUGAAGAAACUCUCUUUAACUAAUUUUCCUCAAACUUUUACACAAGAAUAUUGCAUAGGCAUGGUUACUGGAGUUUAACAACAUGCAUGCAUUCUACCUGAAGAUGUUGUCUAUCGGAUGGAGGGGGAAAAUAUAAAACAACUUCCAGCAUGCAAGUAUAUGACCUAUAUGUAAAUUAUAAACCUAUAUAAAAGGCAUGUUUCAUGAUGAGUGCAACACCAAGAACAAGAUAUUUUAGUUCAAUUAAAAAUGUGACUCGAUAAACUAUACUCUACACUUCAGAGUAACCCUAGGCUCCAAAAUAAUUUUUCACCUGGAACACAAACCAACUGAAAGAUGCAGAAUGCCUGUCUUUUAGAGCCCAUGUUCUGACCAAGCAUGGUGCUUACAAUCUUAAGGCCCUCGUGGAACUUCGACAGAGAACGAGCUUGUGUAAUAAUUUCGGAUCCAGAAAAGAAUUAUAUGGGGUGAUUACCAAUUCUAGCAUAUGCAUGAGCAGACAAUGUUGUAUGACAGACCAAUCACCUACGGAGCAACCACAUGGUGUCAUCUGUAGGCUACACAAGUUAAGCAACUCUGCCAGGAAGAAUAUCCAUCUGCAGAGUUCUACCAUUUCCAAAACCAAGAAAGCCAACAGUAGGUAGUGAAGAAUCUGUAACCAGCUCAAUCUCAAUAAAAUUCAAGUCAGAAGCUCCACUACGCUUAAGGCUCAAGAAAAACACAAGAAUAAUCCAUCCAAGCAUCGAAAUGGCCCAGUAAUUACUCAUUCCAUGGAUCAGACCCCAAGCUAUGGAAUAACCGACAACAAUUCCAGACAAGUGGCCAAUAAAACUUGCUUGUGGAACAAUUAUGGACGUGAAAAUUAAUGAUUCAAAUGGUGCAAAGCUGAUUGGCAGAGAAAGAAACCCAAAUAGAUUCAGCUUUGAAGAUGGUUGUUUCGCGGCAAGGAUUGUCAUCCACCCGAACACAACACAUGAGUAACCAACCGCUGUCACUCUCCUGAAAUACUCCAGCUUAAACUUCUGAAUCAGAAUAUGAUACACCCCCAGGACCAGCAAUCCUGAUAAAACUACCAGAACUAGAGUAUAAUGGAGAUAAAACUCGACACCAAGACCCAUGUAGCCCAACUGCUCAACCACGCCAAGGCUCCAAAGAGCACUCAUGUUAAAAACCAGAUGAACCACACUGACAUGGGAGAAUGCAGACGUAAUUAUUCUCCAGUAAUGCCCUUCAAUUGCUGUUUCAUAACUCAAGCCAACAUUGGCAUAGCCGAUGUUUUUCUUCUGAAUAUAGAACCAAAUCGCACUGCAUAUUCCUAUGAUACAGCUACUUGCAGGUUUUUGCCAAAUCUCGUACAAGAGUGGCUUCCCCAUCUCUUUCUAUCAAUAAAAUAAUUGCGCACAAGGGCUCCACAGAUCUUCAGUCUUUUCAAAGCCACAAUCUACACCUUACAGAAGGAGAAAUGAAAUCUUUGCACCCUUCCCAACCAUUACAACAAAAUAAUACUUAUGAAGUUGCUGACUUCUGCUCCAUCCCACUAACCAAUAUAAUUCGAACUUGGAUCACUUGAUAUCUUGCCAAUUAGUCAGUCUGGGUUACAGCUCCCAGUUUACCUCAAUUAAUGUAGCACCCCACAAUUCUCAAAGAUGUUAUCGAUAAGGAAAUAAAAAAUCUCCAAGGUUCAAAUCUUCAACAUGAACAGAACCAGACCGAAGGUUAACAUCCAACGAUUCAAAUCGAUAACCACACUCCAGAUUAAUAAACAAAGCUCCAAGGCAGGCUCAGAAUCCUAGAAUUUCAGAAUUCAAAAUUGUGAUCAGCAGUCACAAAAACAUGACAUCCAACCCCAGCAUAAAACAUUAGUAUUCAUGCUCUAUAUUCUAUGUUUCCAUGGCUCAAAGAAUCUCUUUACCUGAAAAUUUUUAAAACCAAGGCAACGUAGAAGCAACAGAACAGGUUGCUGACCUGGCAAAAAAAAAACAGCUUUCACAUUCUUGUCUUCCAGAUAACAAAAUGAAUUGUCUGAUAAGGGAAUUAAACAGUUCAAUUUUGUGACAUAUUUAUACAAGUAAGCUGCAGAGAGAGCGUAGUUUUCAUUGGAUGGAUGGAUCACAAGAACUGAAGGCAGAUCGCAUCGCCUACCGUAGGUUUCUAGUGAUAAAAGUCUACGGAGCGUGCAAAGAGAGAAAUAGGGAACGGAGACAAGGCAUCGGGGAAGGGGAUUACAGAAUCUAGGGUUUCUGGACUCGAGAGAUGGAUUAAAGGAAGAGGAGGGAUUUGAUCUUUGCCGUACCUUGGGUCGGACGUCCGCUGCUCGAGAACUGCGCUGCCCUAGAUCUCUGGCUCCUUUUUCUCCUGUAUUUUUUUCUUCUUCUCGAAUUUUUCGAUGGAGCACCUUUCCCGUUUGAUCAUGAUCAUUCGGUCCACCGCCGGUCCACCAUCUAGCCAGACAGGGUUCGAGCUAAAAAAACCUUCAUUCAAACCGGCGAACUCAUGCUACAGUAAUUUCGAAUCCAUAUAGGCUAUGGGCUAUAUGCUAUAGACCGAAUCUAUCCCGAUACUAUUUUAUAACCAUACAAAUACUUAAGAUCUACCUAGUGCAUAAGUGUUGGGACUUAAUAAGAGAAAUGUUGGAUGCCUCGACUUUGGACCGAAUCGACCUCCUUGACCUCGGUAUAAACCAGGGUGAGUGACUUCGGCGAAAGCUGAGUAACCAAUCAACCGAGGAAUCAACCGGCACAUGUUGAUAAAGACUGUUGUUCUAACAAUCGACAGUUGUAGCAGUCCAUAUAACGCACGUCGCAUCAACUCAUGUAACGAUAAAAUAGACUACACUAUAUAAAGAGGCAGUUCGAGGGUCCUCAGGUAUAUUAUGUUAUGUUCAUUAAAAAAGAACUCUGCUCUGCUAAAACUUUUUCCUUCCAUAUUAUUGUCUCUCUACUUAACUUAGGCAUUGGAAGGUCCCUGUUUCUGACAAGCGGACUUCUUACAGGCCAUCUCUGGAGGAGAUCCACUCCCAUGCACCUCGGACGCCUCGUGCAACUCGAUUUCCGCCGACCACAAGAUCCGCCGAGCUGCACUCCGAUCUCGGUCUGGAAUUCUGUGGCAACAAUUUGGCGCUAGAGAAAGGGCCCCAGCUACACCGGUAUCAAGCGAAGGGAGAAAUCGCCAAUAUAAGGUUGCGAGGAGCUUGCGGUGCAUCUCAUGCCUCGCAACACCGCAUUCCAACCUCACGAGGGUCAUUGCAAAGCCCAGAACAAGCUCUGUCAGGACAACCCACUGAGCCUAUGGAUAAUAAGCAGUUCAACCUGCUCAUUCAAUAGGUGUUGGCUUUGACCACGGCGGUCAAGGCUUGCAGCAAGCAGUAGUACGGACGGAACUAGUCCGGCUAGAAUUUGUUCAGCCCAGCUAUCACUCUAAGCCUCCAUUCUGACAAGGACUCUGCUCCGAACCUCUUACCUCCUCGCCAUGCAAAGCCCUCACCUCAGUGGGAUGCUGACCUCAAUAGAAAAAUAGAGUAGAUGAGCCAACAGAUUUAGGCCCUUAGGGGACAGGCUCCAAGGAAAACAAUGAACUCAAUUUUUCCUUAGAAUCUCCCUUCUUUCGAGAGAUCAUGAAGGAACUGAUCCCACUUAAGUUCAAGAUGCCCCAAGUAGAGUCGUCUGACGGCACAUCGGAUCCUCUGAAGAGCUUCAAAGUUCUCAUGAUGCUGCAUAGAGCCAAAGACGUCGUGCUUUGUAAGGCCUUUCCUGCAACUCUUUGCAAAGUAGCUCGAUUUUGGUUCUUAAAGCUUCGGCCCGAAUUCAUCUACUCCUUCGAGCAGCUCGAACGUCUCUUCACAGCACACUGCAUCUCCAGUCGAAGAUGGUGUCGUGGUUCCGAUGCAUUGCUCGACAUCAAAUAGAGGAAAAAAGAGUCCUUCAGAGAUUAUGUCAACCUCUUCAAUGCGACAAUGCCGAGAAUAUGAUCGAUGCGUUCGCGAAGGGCUUUGAGGAAUGUCAAACUUAGGCCCAGCAACUCUUUCUGGGGGUGGACUUCUCCGGCCUUCAACCCGACCUCGAUGAGGGCGACGACGAUGACGAAGACGGCGAAGGCGGUGACGACGAAGAAUAGAGUUUUUUCUUUUUCCUUUUGCUUUUUGCUCAAAUAGACCGAGCUUGAUGUCUUUGGCUUUUUGCUCGGCUUUUUUCUGAUGUCAUUGUACAAACUUGAAAGUAUGAAUUUUUUAAAGUACCUAUCUUCAGUUCUUGCUUGCAUCAUUUUCUUUUGUAUUUGAGUUCGACUCAUUGCACCAAAACUUCCUUUGAUGCCUCUUCUUAGGUUUAAUUUCAACUAGAGGAUCAGCAAGGAUAUCCAACCAAUCUUGGGCUCCUUGGUUGAUUUUCUGAUGAUUCUGACAAAGGAUUAGCAAGGAUAUCCAACCAAUCUUGAGCUCCUCGGUUAAUUUUUUGAUAAAAUCGAUCAGAGGAUCNNNNNNNNNNNNNNNNNNNNNNNNAGUUAAUUUUCUAAUAAUUUUGAUUAGAGGAUCGGCAAGGAUUUUCAGUCGAUCUUGGGAUCCUCGAUUGAUUUUCUGUACUUCAUCUCUAGAUUUGCUUCGAAUUUUGAGUGAACUCAGCUUAAGGAGGUCCCAAAUGGGUCCAAAGUGUCUCCACAAGAAUAGUCGGUUUGUUACCGAAUAGUUGUUGCUCUCGGAGGUCUUAGGUCGAGACCUAGGCAAUUCUAGAGUGUCCCUUAGGUCGCGGCCUAGGCAUUUCUGGGGUGUUUGUUAUUUUGUCCGAGUCAAAUAUGUUUGUCAUAAUUAUCCGAUCUGAAAGAUAGAAACACAAUGAGAAGAUUUUAAUUAGAAAUAAACUCAAAAUACAAUGAACCUUAUUGGUAAUGGAUACGAAGGUUGUCAGAAUUUCAAGUUUGUAGGAUUGGAGCACUAUCAAGAUGCUCCACUGUUGCCCAGAUAGACAACCCAAGAGGAGGGGUGAAUUGGGUUUUAAAAUAAUUUUGCAAUUAAAACAUUUGAGGAUGACUAAUUAAUACUUUUGCAAGAUGAUUAAUUAGUUGCUGUGUGCUGUGAGUGAAAUGAGAGUGAGAGAGAGAGACACAAGCAAUCACAAACACAAUGUUUAUAGUGGUUCGGAGCUAACCCUUGCUCCUACGUCCACUCUCCAAGUCUCACUUGGGAAUUCACUAUAACUCCUUGGAUUAUAGCCGGUUNNNNNNNNNNNNNNNNNNNNNNNNNNNNNNNNNNNNNNNNNNNNNNNNNNNNNNNNNNNNNNNNAAUGAGCUUAAAUCUGCAUGGUGAUUAUUAAUAAAAAGCGGCUCGGUACUACAAUUCAAGUGUCAAGGGAAAGCUCUUCCAACCUAGUGACCUCAUCUUGAGAAAGACCAAAGUAUCACAACUAGGGAAACUCGAGAAGCUAAACCCAAAUUGGGAAGGUCCAUACUGAGUAGCCAAAGCAAUACAACCAGGAAUGUAUAGGGUGGAGCAUCUUGAUAGUGCUCCAAUCCUACGAAUUUGAAAUUCUGACAACCUUCGUAUCUAUUACCAAUAAGGUUCAUUGUAUUUUGAGUUUAUUUCUAAUUAAAAUCUUCUCAUUGUGUUUCUAUCUUUCAGAUCGGAUAAUUAUGACAAGCAUAUUUGACUCGGACAAAAUAACAAACACCCCAGAAAUGCCUAGGCCGCGACCUAAGGGACACUCUAGAAUUGCCAAGGUCUCGACCUAAGACCUCCGAGAGCAACAACUAUUCGGUAACAAACCGACUAUUCUUGUGGAGACACUUUGGACCCAUUUGGGACCUCCUUAAGCUGAGUUCACUCAAAAUUCGAAGCAAAUCUAGAGAUGAAGUACAGAAAAUCAAUCGAGGAUCCCAAGAUCGACUGGAAAUCCUUGCCGAUCCUCUAAUCAGAAUUAUUAGAGAAUUAACCGAGGAGCCCAAGAUUGGCUGGACAUCCUCGCCAAUCCUUUGGUUGGAAUCAUCUAAAAAUCAACUGAGGAGCCCAAGAUUGCCUAGAAAUCCUCGCCAAUCCUCUAAUUGAAAUUAAACCUAAGAAGAGGCAUCAAAUGAAGAUUUGGCGCAAUGAGCCAAGCUCAAACACAAAAGUAAAUGAUGCAAGCAAGAACUAAAGAUGAGUAUUUUGAUAAAUUCUUGCUUUCCUUGCUUUCAAGUUUGUACAAUGACCUCAGAAAAAAGCCAAGCAAAAAGCAAAAGAUAUCAAGCUCAGUCUAUCCUAGCAAAAAGCAGAAAGACAAAAGGAAAAAACUCUAUUUUUCGCCCCCACUCCCUUCGCCAUCUUUAUCAUCGUCAUCAUCGCCCUUGCCGAAGUCAGGUUGAAUGAUGGAGAAGUCCACCCCCGGAAAGAGUCAUUGGGCCUAAACUCGGCAUUCAUCAAAGCUCUUCAUAAAUGAUCGGUCGCGUUCUCGGCAAACUCGUCCUUGAACUAGUCCUAGGAGAGGUAUUCCUUGACCGCUUUGGCGGCCUUCUCCUUGCCACAGGUGACCUGCUCCUUGGCCCCAACAGCCUCCUCCUCCACCUUGGCAGCUAGCACCUUGGCCCUAGUGGUCUCUUGCUCGGCUUAAGCAAGAUUUGCGAAAAACUCCUGACCUUCUGCUCGGCAGCCAGGAAGGCUUCCCAGGCCGUAGAUAGACAAUUGUCCGAGAUUGUCUUCUGGGUCCGCAUGGUCGAGGCUUCAGCUUUCGCCAACUUGAUUUUGUCUUGGGCCACCUUUGCCCUCUCCUUGGCAGCCUCCGGCUUCGCCUCAAGCUUCGAGCCAUGCAUCCUAAGCACCGAGAUCGACUCGUAGAUAUAGAUGACCUCGUAAGCAUGCUGAAAAGAAGAAAAGGGAUUAGUAACUAAAGUGAAUGACUUGGCAAAAAUUCGCAAUGAAAUAGAAUCUUACUCGGAUGACCGAAGAGAAGGCCCCAUCGAUCAGCUCGUGCACAUUGAAGGAGCGCAUGAGCUUCUUGUCACCUUUGAGCUACAUAGCUUGGACCACCUCCCUCGCCACCCCGAGGGUCGUUAAGGCCGAGUCAGACUCCUUGACCGACCAUCUUGGAGGGUAGACCUUAGAGGCGCGAGCCGAGGCCGAAAGGUUGUCCUCGGCAAGGAUGGACGAACUCGAACCGAUCCGGGCCGAGGCCGAAAGGUUGUCCUCAGCUGGGAUGGACGAACUCGAACCAGUCCGGGCCGAGGUGUGAAUCACCGACGAUGAUGGGUGCAAAGGCAUAGCAGCAGAUGGCUGAACCAAGUCUAUCCCCUCUAGAAGGGCCGACUUGAUUGGUGAUAUGAUCUCGACCUCGGGGUCGAGAUCCACAUUCUCUGCCUGAUUUAUCGACACCUUGGGGGAGACCUCGAGAACCAAGGCAUCGAAGGAAGCUUCAACAACAGGGGCCGAGGAGGACUCUCCCCUCAACUUCUUCUUCCUUUAGGGGAUUUCACUCCCGGACACCGCGGUUAACCUCUUCCGUAUCUUCUUGCGUAUUAGCGCUAGGUUGGUCUUCAUUGUUGCAACAACUGCAAGGCCGAAGAUAAGGUUAAAGAAGAAUAUGAUGAAGUGAAAAGAUAGAGAAAAUUCAGAAGAAGGUUACCUUGAGGGUUGGCCAGGCUCAUACCAAUGUUGAUCGGCAUCUCCUCGGACAACAAUUCUUGCAAUACAAAAAUUUUGGAUCAAUAUUUAAGAAGUGUGUCUAAGGAUCCUUGAUCAUCGCCAAAAACCUCGGGGAGAUUCAAAGAUCUUCGAGGUGUCCUCCACAAGAUUUAAAACCACCAUGGCUACUCAGAGGAAUGAAGAAGAAUCUCUCUUUCCAUCCAUAGAUAGAAGUGAGAGUACCUAAGUCAACUGGUGGCCUUUUCAAGGAGAAAAGUACUGCCAGUUGUUGUCCGAGAAUGCCUCUUCAGAGUGAAUCAUCCCCGAAGAGAAAAUUCGAGGCUUGGAUGUUCCAUAGAAGCCAAAGAGAAAGAAAAUCGACGAGGACCUGCCAGGAGUUUAAGACCAUCUAGGUUGGGACGAGGCUGUAAAUCCUCAUCAGCUGAACAAAGAAGGGGUGAAGGGGGUUCCAAAGUACCAAGGAGCAUUGCAAAUGGGGCCAGCCUGGACGAGACCAGCUAGGUUGGGACGAGGCUGUAAAUCCUCAUCAGCUGAACAAAGAAGAGGUGGAGGGGGUUCCAAAGUACCGAGGAGCAUUGCAAAUGGGGCCAGCCUGGACAUGCAUCCCGUGCGCACAGAUCGUGUGUCCUGUACCGCGUGGAAGGCCGCCCAACGAGCUCAGGACUUGCAUCCUGGCCUACACGGGUCGCGCAUCUCGGGAGGGCGGAUAGAGCCCACUGAAGUGUUGCACACGGCCACCGCAAGGGUCCGACGAUGCCCGAGCGGUGCAGCGGCAUGGGGCACCGGCUGACUUCGUCAAGGCAGAAGAGCGUGGCACGUCUGCCGCGAGCAAAGGGCCUCCUACAUCCCAUGUGCGGAGCCUGCAGUCCAGGCCGACGCAUAGGGCCAGCCUGCGCUCCUGGGACUCGUAUCCCUAUCCGCCAUCCUCGCGUACCAUGCCGGCGGGCCAAGGCCAUCGACGCGUUGCCCCUGACCUCUGCUUGGGUCCGACGGGGCACUUGCUGAUCCGAACGAGGGAGGUAACCUUAUCCGAACAAGAGCCUUCAUCGUGAUCGUGAAACAAGAGAAAGGAGAUUGAAGGACAGUGGGAUUUAAUGGGAAGAACCCUCUAAAAAUCUGGUGGACUCUCUAUUACAGAAACUAUUUCUUUGCCACAGAGGCUAACAUUCCCCUCUAAAACUCCAAAACUCCCCCCUCCCUUUAUCCCUCCAGACUCCAGCCUUGAUUUGUCUUCCCCUCUUACAUGGGACUCUAGCACGGCGUUCUUCCUCUCACAUGGGACUUAGGCACGACGCCCUCUAACUAUCCAAGACUCUCUCUUGAGUGUUGGAGAUUGUCUCAUAUCACUUGCGGAACAACAACACACGCCGAAGGCUCGCGCUGUAGCAGCCCCCCUACCACCCUAGCGGGGCAUCUGCACAAAACCCACCCCGAAGGUUUUGAAGUACUAAGGAGAAUUGCAAAUGUGGCUGGCGGGGCGCGCGCUCCGGGCGCACGGUCGCGCAUCUUGCACUGCACGGAAGGUCAUCCGGUGUGCCCAGGACUCAUGUCCCCGCCCACAUGGGAUACGCGUCCCUGCUCGCACGGGAUGCAUGUCCCGGGCGGGCGGAUAGAGCAGGCCGAAGUGCCGGACAUGGCCGCCGCGAGGGGUCGAUGGCGGCACCCGAGUGCCAUGCCUUUAAAGUCUCCUCGUACAAGUCGAGCCGAGAAGGAGGGGGACUAGUUACCCAAUCAUCGAGAUCGGUGAGCUCAAAGGUGAACUCAAGACGUAUAAAAUGUUAGGCUCAGACAAGGUCCAUUUUCUCUUGGGUGAGAACGGAUACCUCGUACUCUGGCCCAAUCAGACCUCGGGCUCAACCGAGCGCCACCUGGGAGCCUGAGCACUUGGGCAGCUUUGCAAAUAAAGCAAGAGUACAAAUUGAGGGGGGGUUACCCUUAUAUAGAGACACGGACAACCCUAAUCAAAGUAAUGGUCUGGCUACCCAAGCAGAUUCAGCCACGUAUCAGCUCGAAAUAUGAUGGAAGUGAUUUACUAGGAUCGCUGCAUUAAUAGUACCUCAAAAUAACCCCAUAGUAAUGAUGCCUCGGGAUAGCCCGGAUAUAGUGACAAUUCAAGAAGAUCAACCGACACAUUUAAUACUCCCUGACAACAGCCUUAUUUUCGAUCGUGAUGACGACAUAACUUCCGUCGCCUGAACUGGAUGCAGCUUAGCCUCAAAAAUGGGGGGUAAGUGAUGGAGAAAAUGUGGGACGCCUCGACCUCGGACCAGAUAAACCUCCUUGACCUCGGUGUAAAUCGAGGUGAGUGACUUCAGCAAAAGGCGAGUAGCCAAUCAGCUGAGGAGCCAACUGGCAUGUGUUGAUAAAGACUAUUAUUUUGGCAAUCGACAGUUGUGGCAGUACUAUUGUUGGCAUAGGAUCAGCAUCGUAUGCCACCCAUGCAGAAUGAUGCCCACGCAUCGUAUGCCACACAUGCAGAAUGAUGCCCACGCCGUAAACGUACUACUAGCCAUUAACACAUGUCGCAUCAGCUCAGGUAACGACAAAAUAGACUGUCCUUUAUAAGGGGGCAGUCCAGGGGUCCUCAUGUAUGUGAUAUUAUGUUAUAUUCAUCCAGAGAGAACUCAAUUUUACUCAAAUUUCUCCCUUCUAUACUAUUGCCUCUCUCUCUCUCUCUCCUAACUUAGACAUCGAAGAAUCUCCCAUCAGAAACUUUCCGGCAAGCAGACUUCUUGUAGGCCAUCUCCGGAGGAGAUCCACUUCCCCGCACCUCGGAUGCCUCAUGCAGCUCAGUUUCCACUGAUCUCAGGGUCAACUGAGCUGCGCUUCGACCUCGAUCCAAAAUUCUACGGCAAUAGGACUAAAUAUAAACCAGCACGGAUCCUCAUAAUUAUGGAUUCAUAUAAUCAAUUUAUCGUUUAGAUUCAAGGUUGUAUCUUAAAUUCCACAUUAACUGUGCUGAUUAAUGGAGCACCAACCGACCAGUUUUUCUCCUCAAUUGAACUAAGACGAGGGUAUUCCCCGUCUCCAUUCGUCUUCACUUUCCAUAUUAAUAUCUUAUCUAGAUCCGUAUAUACAAGCUAUAGUUAUUGAUGGAGCUUUGAACGAUCUGCUCUUUGUGGUGAAUUCUAUAUUACGUAACGCUAAAGCCGUAAAAUAUUAUGAUUGCUUAUUGCCAACAAUCUGGGCGAAGUAUGAUCUUGGAGAAGUCAAUAUGCUUCAGCCCAAAGACUCAUGACAAGCUUGACAAUCAAAUUAUUUAUCUGCUAGGAAUACAACAAAAGAGUAGCAUUUGGAAUUGUCUCUGUUCUUCUCUAUCUGGUUUACGACUCGAUGUCUGAUCUUAAUCCCUCGUCUGAUAAGCUUAAUGCCCGGUUGGAAGGUUGGAAGUGGAAGUCUUUAUCACGGGCCAGAAGGUUAACUUUGAUUGAAUCAGUACCAUCACCCACUCUUAUCUACUUAAUGUCUAAUUGUUCAAUUCCUGUGGCUGCAGUUGUACUAUAAAUCCACUGUAGACUCCAAACUUGUUAUACUGUGCGACCUGUGCGUCGACAAAGAGGAUCAGGAUGUGCAACACGUAACGGUAGAUUGCAAAUUAGCAGCAGAAGUUUGGAAUCUAUUUGCUAUUAAGCUUCCCAUUCUACUUGACUUUAGUUCUCCAAAGGACCUUGGAAUACAGGAAUUUAAAUCAGGAGACCAGGAGUCAUAUAUUUUGCUAGAUUGCUCCUCUGGAAUGCAAGAAAUGAAAGAGUGUUCCAACCAGCAAUCUUAAAUGAGAAUUAAUGACGACUUCAGCACACACAGUGGAAACUCUUCAACAUGAAAGUCUCCGGCGACUUCAAGGCAGCAGCACAAGAUGUGUCCCUCCUGAUUUGUUCUGCGGGUUCCAUCUCAUCCGUCAAUCAGUGCAUGACAUGUCAGCCACUUCACCCGAGUAUCCCAGUGACAGGUCUAAAACUAAUUCAUGCUAGGUUUGAUAUAAAUAGUAGCCAGUAGUUGGAAUAUAUAUGUAUAUAGCAACGGAUGGAGUUCUACUAGAGUGGGUGCAGCUUGGGUGCAACGGUGGGCACCAACCGCUUUAUUUUUAUCGAAUAUGGUUCAACCACUGACCCUAUCUUUCUACAAUGAUCUCUCUUGUGGUUAUAUAUGAUGAAUGCAGACACUCAUCGUUCUCACCAUGCUCUCUCUUUUCUCGCCAUGCCGGCAACAAGAAGAAGAGUUCGUCCAAUGAUGGAGUUCAGUUUGGCAGACUCCACCUUCGACGCCAUCCAUCUACUUCCUCGAUCACCAAUUCUGGCUACGAAUGCUGUCUGCUUGCCCAGAGCACGCCAAGAUUACACAAUGAGGCAAGCUUUUCUUCGCAGCUACCAAUUUACUGUCAGAGAGAGCUUCGGCGAAAGGCUCUGGCGGAGUCUGAAGGAGGUUGGUCGGACGGGGAAGACGGUUCUUUCGGAGGUUUUUGAUGGGGUGUUCCACGGAAGGUUUGGAGUGAGGGUGUUUCGAGCUUUUCGUUUGAGACUGCCUCGCUCAGCAGUGGAUCCACUAAGAUGCUUCAAGCCAAGGAAGCAUGGCUACUUGGAGGAUCUUGUUUGAUCUUAGGUAUCUAAUGUACAAAUUUGAUGUUUUAAGGGCAGUGCUUGCAAUUUUUUUCGUAGUAUGCAUGUAUUUUAUAUGUUGGUAUGGAAAUGGGCACCCUGUUUCACUUGUGUAUAAAAUAUGUGUAUACAUAUACAUGCAUACUUACAUAUGUAUGUAUGUAUAAACAAAUCAGGAGAAAACUAAACAAAGAUUAGCAUAGAGGUGUUCUAGAGAGAGAGCUCUUAAUGCCUGAGGGGAUCUAAUAGGUUAUUUAUAGCCCUCUCUAGGAUCAAAUGUUGUGGGUAGUUACACCCGUGAAGAGUCAUCCUCCAUUAAGAUAACCUUUCACUACUACGAAAUUACCUUAAUGCCCUUAAGAUCAUGUGAACUUACGAAAUUUAAGGGAUACUUGUCAAAUGUGGAUUCUAAUUAAAUGAGAUCAGGGUUUAAUUAAAGGGGAUCCAACACAUAAUAGGCUACAUCCGGGGAAAACAAGUAGAAGACAACCUUCUGCUUGAACUUAUUAUCAAACAUCUUAAAGCCAGCAUUAGCUAUUCGUGGCUCAAUUAUUGUUGAUGAGAAUUGGAGGCUUGGUUAUGAGCAAGCUAAGGUGCCUCCGUUUUUUUUGGGGGGGGGGGGGUAAAUUUCUUAGUCCAAUAUAAGUACCCAAUAUCUAUCUAAUACAUCAUAUUUAAGCUCUAGAAAAUGUACCCAUGCUAUAAUAUCUUCCAAUCUAUAUAGACCAUGGAGUGGGCUUGCUCUAAUAUCAUUUAUAACAACCUAGAGCUAAAAGAUAUUAUUUGAGUUUUUUAGUCCUAUAUAAAUACCUAAGAUCUAUCUAGUACAUCGCAAAUGUGAAACUAAAUACAUGCCCACGAGUCCUCGCAUAUUGUAAGCCUGAUUAACCAAAUAUAAUAUGAUAGCUUCUGUUGGUGGUUGAGCCCAAACAGAAUGAGUGCAUUUUCUUGGGGUAACUAAAUAAUGGACUAGUUAAGCCAGUAGAAAAGGUGACGAUAGUAACAGUUAAAACAAGUCUACCAUUUCCCGUUCCCCCACUCUCAAUGAAAGAAGUGUGGCAUAGUUUUUCAGAAAAAUAGAUAUUGUUAGGGAAAAACCCAAGUCGUCCCAGAACGGAGGCGCCCGACCAGGGAGCGCCAACCAGAAGGCGCCCGACCAGGGAGCGCCGACCAGAAGGCGCCCGACCAGGGAGCGCCGACUAGAAUGCGCCAACCUCGCGACGCUCGAGUUGAAGGCGCCCAACUGGGCAACCGGCUCGGCUCGGUGCCGAGCCCCAAAAUGCCUCGUCCAAAUAUUUGACCCGGCCUGUUCCUUGAGGGAACCUGACCCUAGAUAUCCAACGUCGCCGUACUCUGCUACCGUCGUCAAGCCAUUAAUGCGCAUGGCCUCUGCAGGCCUCCAGUGCACUCAACCAUUAAUGAACGCGGCUCAGGAUGAUCUCCGGAUCACUCGACCAUCAAAGCGUAUGGCCUUCCCUGAUCACUGGUUCACUCAACAAUUAAUGCGCUUGUUAUCUACGGACCCCAGGCCCUCCACAGCGGGCGGUUGAACCACUCCACCAGGUCCGAUCAACCACGACAAUUCGCUGACUCCGGUCUGAUCCGGUCUCAUCCCCCACGACGUCAUUAAUGAACAUGAUCGUGCUCAAUUAUCACAAAGAGGACAAUCUGCCCUGUCACAUCACAGGUAACCCAACUCCUUCCAUAAAAGGAGAAUCCCUCCAUUUGAGGAGGGGGGAAAAACUCUUAACUUCUGAUUGCUAUCUCCACUCUUAUAUUGGCCCCCUCUGACUUAAGCAUCGGAGGGCCGGCGCCGGAAAGCCCGGCCACCGGCUUCUUGCAGGUCCUCCGGAGGACGCCACCAGCCGAUGUACCGCCACCCACCGUUCCAGCAGCGGAGCUCCUCCCCCCUCAGCCGACGGUCGCUCCCGGGUCCAAUUUCCAGCAACAGAUAUAAAUAAAAGAAGCGCGAGCUAUUAGGCUUACAAUUGUUUAAGGAUACAUUAUGUACUCAAAAAAAAAAACAAGUAUAAAGAUAGACUGUUGACUGGCAGCUGAGGAAUGAAAAUUGGAGAUCGCACACCAGAUUUCUUUUGACGUCGGAUAAAUGAUGGACCCCGUGAUUAUGAUUGCAUUCACCAUUAACCCUCAAUUUCUUGGACUUUGGAAUUAGCUAAUAAAUAAUACCUAAAUGGAACUUAGAAAUUGAUACAUGAUUUAUAUGAUCUUUAAUUCACUCCAACAAAAUGUUGCAAAUAACUGGUAGCUUAGAUGGAUAGCUUACUACAACAAAUAAUACACCAUAAUGCUAUACCUAAAUUGCAAUAUCCUUUCUAGGUAUAAGAGAUCGAGUUCAAGGCUAGUCAUGUUACUUUAAGAUUUGAAAGUUGGUUGGGGCGCAUGAGCCACCACUCACUACUGACCGUUUGGACUGACCGUUAGCUAAACCUAGAAAUACGAAACUGGCGCGGGGAAUUUUGAAGUAAAGAAAUGAGCAACGAAAGGAAGAAAAACCAUUCAGUCUUAGAAGGAGAAAACCCAACAAGAUGAAGGUUGAGUGCCCUCUCCAACUAAUGAACCCUGAAUUGGCCUCCUCAUCUUCCUCUUCUCCUCCAACGCCACCAUCUCCUCUCCCUGUAAGUGUCGGACCAGGCAAUCGCAAGUAUCCAUUCUCUCCUUCGUCGACGCCAUCGCCGCCAUUCUCACCACCCGAUCGCUCAUCACCGGAGACCUCACCUCUCUUGCACGAGCAAUCAGCAGAGCAGCACCAAGAACCUUCCGCUUUCUCUUUGGACAAACUCCUUGAAGAAUCUGGUCCUUCAAGAAGCUGGUGCCAUUUUAGAAAUUUGUAAGUUGGAGAAAUUUUCGAUUUUUUUUGAGCUUAUAAAUGAAAACCAUGAUCAUGGAGUAUGAAUAUUUUGGUGUCAUACCAAUGAAAUGUAGAUAUGGUCUAAUGUAGUUAGCUUGAGCAAUUUGAUCUUUAGCAUUUGCAUUAAUAUUUUAUGCUAUGUAACACAAGUCAUAAAUUUCAAUUAUCAAAUAAAAUCACAAAAGGCUGCUUAAUUUGGUUUGUGCAUUACCAACUAAAUCAUUGAAUUGUCAUAAAAGAUUAGCAUAACCACUGGCCCACUGCCACUAGAUUAGCCUAUAAAACUCGCGUUAUGAUUUUUGCUUCCUUUUAUGACUUGCUGCCAAAUGGUGCUAAGCCUUGGGACCCCUUUUUUUUUUAGGCUUAUUUUGAGGUCGACAUCAAACAUUUGAGAUGCAAUUUUAGAAUCUCUAAUCUCUCUUUCUUUCAUCUUCUGAUUAAUCUACUCAACCCAGAGCUCCGAGUUUGACCCAAAAACUUGAACAAGUUAUUGCAAUACCGCACUUUGGAUCUCCGUUUAGUACUACGGAAAUAGGAAAUAAAGCCAGAGCUAAUGGGACGUAUCUACUUGCAGUUUGGAAUGGCUGAUGCUGAGAUGUUGCUGCUGCUGCUGCUCCUCAUUGUGAUAGGCAGUAAAUUCUUCAACUCCAAUUCUAGAAAGAUUUGGUGUCAAGCUGACCUGCAACUGUUGGGAGAUUAAUAAAAGGGAAGGUUCAUGUUUGAUCAUGCUGUUAUGGAUGCUAGCCUACCAGAAUUUUUUCUCUCCAGUUAAUUGUUUAUGACGAUGGAAGCUUGAUGAAUGGCUGUGACCAUGAAAUUUCAUUUUCCGUACGGAUGAUUGAGCUAACCGGAGCCAUCAGUGGUUUAAGAUGGUGGAUGGUUUAUAAAUGGCUGUGACUAUGAUCAUGUUCGUCUUGAAACAUUCAGAAGUGGAGGGUUUUUGAGGUUCCAAGAUUUCCAUAUAAUUGCAUUGUAUAAAAUAAUUGAUAGUUUACAAUAACCUUAAGUAACAUAAUUUUCAUAAAGAUUGUUUUGCCACCUUGCUAAAAUAAUUGAGAUCCGUGUAACAAUUUUUUUUUAAGCUAAAAUCAGAUUUAUUAUAAAUACGUUGAUGAAAAUCAGAAAAUAAAAUAUACAAAAAAAUCAAAAGAAAUAUCCGUUACAGCAAUAACAAAUUCUUUUCUAAUACUGAAUGUUAAUCUCGAGUUUUAAGAAGUGACCCAAUUUCUACAAACAAAAUGAAUAUCAAGCUUGCUUAUGCAAAGAAAUAGCAAAGUGUCCCCCGGUUUCAAAGCAAUCUCCUUAUAUGUCUAAUUUAUGUAGAAGAGUCAGCCCUUCAAAUAUGUUUCACCUCACCAAAAAAACUCUCUCUCUCUCUCUCUAACCAAAGAGGAAUUCUCUCCAACUCUUCGUACAUGUGUCUUUCCCCUAAUUUAUAAAGCCACAUUCUCUACCUAAAAAGACAAAAACAUCAACAUCUUAUACUAAAAAGCAAAAACAUCAGUAUUCCACUCUAACUAAAAAAUAAACUUAAAUAUAUUAAGCCUAAGGGUCAACCUAACACUAGAAUAAGCUAGCACAAAAAGAACAAACUAUUCUAACUAUGUUAGACCCUAGGUUACUAAUAUCCAACAUCCAAUGACUUGUUUUCAUCUACUUCUUGACAUCAGUCUUGACCAUUAGAUAUCCUCAGUCCGGCUGAAAUAGACCUCCAAGAGAAGAUGCUGGAGAAGCAUAUGAGAGUUGGGGGAGGCAAUGGUUGUCCAUGGUUCUUGCAAUUCCAAUGUUUUCAGGGUCUGAAAAGUUUGGGGUCGGGGUACCGACUGGCAUUCAUAGUCCUAGUCUCCCAAUAAACAUCUUUGCUCUGCAACUGGCAAAUUAAUGGAGAACGAAAUGGAAUAGCCAAUGGCUUCAGAAAUCCAAAGACCCUUAGAACAUAAUUAAGCAGCAGAUUUGCCCUUCAUGUUUGUGUUUAAUUCAUGUUGGCAUCGCACAUAGGCAUUACAUUAACUUGGGUACAGGUGUAGAAUGAUUUCACCUUGGUAUGCCUUGGCUGGAUAAUUGCAUGCUAUCUUCACUGCAGAAAAUAUUCAAGAAAAUAAGGUUAAGAAAGCACAAGAAAACAUCCUUCAGACGGCAACCACAUGCUCAACAUCCUUCAGACGGCAACCACAUGCUCAACNNNNNNNNNNNNNNNNNNNNNNNNNNNNNNNNNNNNNNNNNNNNNNNNNNNNNNNNNNNNNNNNNNNNNNNNNNNNNNNNNNNNNNNNNNNNNNNNNNNNNNNNNNNNNNNNNNNNNNNNNNNNNNNNNNNNNNNNNNNNNNNNNNNNNNNNNNNNNNNNNNNNNNNNNNNNNNNNNNNNNNNNNNNNNNNNNNNNNNNNNNNNNNNNNNNNNNNNNNNNNNNNNNNNNNNNNNNNNNNNNNNNNNNNNNNNNNNNNNNNNNNNNNNNNNNNNNNNNNNNNNNNNNNNNNNNNNNNNNNNNNNNNNNNNNNNNNNNNNNNNNNNNNNNNNNNNNNNNNNNNNNNNNNNNNNNNNNNNNNNNNNNNNNNNNNNNNNNNNNNNNNNNNNNNNNNNNNNNNNNNNNNNNNNNNNNNNNNNNNNNNNNNNNNNNNNNNNNNNNNNNNNNNNNNNNNNNNNNNNNNNNNNNNNNNNNNNNNNNNNNNNNNNNNNNNNNNNNNNNNNNNNNNNNNNNNUGCCCUUCAUGUUUGUGUUUAAUUCAUGUUGGCAUCGCACAUAGGCAUUACAUUAACUUGGGUACAGGUGUAGAAUGAUUUCACCUUGGUAUGCCUUGGCUGGAUAAUUGCAUGCUAUCUUCACUGCAGAAAAUAUUCAAGAAAAUAAGGUUAAGAAAGCACAAGGAAACAUCCUUCAGACGGCAACCACAUGCUCAACAUCUUCCAUCUAAUGCACAGACACCAGUGUGUCCUUUAGGAAUUCAAACUUGAUUCAUAACUGGUAACAUCAAACUGAAACCCAGUUAUAACAUGUCAGAAGCUCUGCAGAUCUUUUUCCAUUGUAUUUAAAAUGUCUAUGAAGAUAGGAUGAAGCUAAAAAAGUUAAAACGGCUUUUUCAGAGGAUCAUCAACUUCUCAAGAAUCCACACUACUAUGGUAAUUGGACUGUUUUGCUAUGAGGCAGUUUUCUUUCUUUUUUGCCCUUUUUUUUAGAAGAAUACUAUGAUGCAGUCUUUUAAGUGCUUUUCUAUGCCUGAAUGAUUGUUGAAUACAGAACAGCUUUAAAGCCCUCAUAUACUAUGAUGGAAAUAAUAUGGUAAACAAGGUGGCACCCCUCAUGAAUCGUAGUGUUUUCGCAUGAACAACAAUGUCUAGCACAUGGUUUUUAUAUAUAAUUUGCUAAAAUCUGACCUGACAAAGCACCAAAAUCUGACUUAAAGAGCUGGAUGAAUUGGUUGAAAUGAUGAGCGGCGGUUGGUAGAUUUUUGGUUUGCUCGGACUGAAUGGUCGGCUCAGGGUAGAAAAUUCGAUUUGCGAACUGAAGGUUGCUGAACUUGAUCCAAUGAGGGAUUCUCCGAUGACUAAGUCAAACUAAGCUCUAAUAGAACAAUGCAGAUCUCAGAGUACGAAUUGUACAAUGUGGAGCGGAGUGUAGAAUAAGUAUACUCGGAGAUUCUCCAGGUUAUGUAUAUAUAGAAGCGAGGGCAAGGAGCCAUUGCCCGAAAAGAGCGGAGGAGUUGAAACGGAUGGAUGUGUUGUAACUAUCCAAAUAUGCGAGACGAGCUAUAACCAUCCUGCAACGUGCCUCUUAAGUGUGCGCAGCUAUAAUCGCCCUCCUUAAGGGAGCUUUAACUGCUUUUAACAUCCUUUGAUUUAGGGAUAUAUGUCAUGGUCGGCUGGCAACGGAUAUAAGCGACAAAUCCAGACGACAUUAGUGAUCCAAGCUAACACAGACACCUUCCACGUAGGGAUGCCAACUUUAAUUUCUAGCCCUUAAAAGGAGUAGAUUUCUAUGUUGAGAACAGUACCCAUGAAUCGUAAUAUGUUGCGAAAAAGCAACAAAUCUUUGCCCUCCGGAAAACCAUUUUCAGACAGAAGCAGGGAUCGGCAACAAAGACACAACCAAACACAAAG